AAUUAUUAUUAAAUUAUGUAAAUCAGUUCCUUUGUCCUUCAUGCUAUGGCUAAGUACAUUUUCAUGCUUGUUGCAGACCUCUGUGGUUAAUGUAGUGAGACCCUGCUGGAUCUUGAGCCAUUUAAUAUGAUGUGGCACUUGAGCAAAAAUGGAAACCUCGUGGACAGUUUGAUGUAAUUAUUAUUGCUUGUAAAUGGUGAUACAAUGCUGCUACCCUUGCUCUUUCUCUCACAACAGCAUUUUAUAGUCUUAAAAUUUUGCAUUAAGAAAAUGAAUGUUUUUGUUAAUUGCAGUGGCAAAAUGUUAAAUGGGCUUCGCUAUUGGGGGAGAAAAAAAAAAUUCGAUUUUACAUUCCAUCAUUACCUUGGAUUCAGGAGUUGCAAAGGUUCAAGUUUUGUACAGCAAUACAGGGAAACCCUCUGCAAAUGCAAACCCCUAUGAACGGGAUCCCACUUCAUGACAAUCCUUGGGGGUUUUGAGUUGGAAUAAUCUGGCAGGUUAAAAGUUGUGCCAAUUAAUUAUCUAUAGAAGUAGUGCCAAUUAAUUAUCUAUAGAAUACAUGUUAUGUUACAUUAUAUGACUAUAUAGUGAUUCAUUGUGGGAUACUAGGAUAUCAAAAAGAGCUCAAAAUUUCAUACAGAUUUUCUCCCUAAAUUUGGUCAAAAACUGAUGGAUAGAUUUCAACUAAGCUUUAUGGCAAUUUGUAGGUGUAAACAUCUAGAAGGCUGGGACUAAAUACCAUUUGAUUAGGUUAGAAUAAUAUGAGCUGAGCUUUUAAUCUAUGUUAUUCAUUCAAUUGCUUUUUCAGAUGUCCACAAUUCAUCAUGUUUCGAUGCUUCAUGCUGCAUUUAUCCAGUUUGUAGAGGCUGGAACUAAGUUCUAUAUGGACACUUCUUGUGGCAUCUGAGGAGCCCCGUCUGCUAGGUAGUGUAGCAUCAUUUAAGGAACCUUUGUUAAAGGCGUUGAUUCUGUCUCAUGGAUGGCAAAUAACUCAGCAGCGAAGCUUUUAAGUUUUUGAAGUGAUGGUCCUCAUUGUUGGACCUUAUUCAGCACUUUAGCCUAUGGAAAACAAAACAAGGUUCCACAGGUCUGUUUGUACAUAAAUGUGUGUCUUAUUUAAAAUACUUGUUUUCACAAUAUGAUAGCAUUGACACACCUUUUUUAUCAAUUGCCUAGACCUGUUGAAUCCAUUCAUACUUCAGCUUGAAAUCCGAGCAAUUGAAACAAGGCUGCAAUGAGUUCAAUUUUGGACUAUCCUUGUAGUUGUCUUAUUUCCCUAACGGAUGUAUCUUUUAAGUGCUGUAUUAGGCAUACGAAGUUUAUUAAAUGAAAGCAAAUCAGGAGUUGGUCGUAAAUUGGUCUUAAAAGCAUGUUGUUCAAGGAAUGCAAUACAAACGGUAAGUUUAUUUGAGACAAUUCAUAGGGCUUCCCUUGAGUCAAAAAUAGUCAUAUUACCAUUUAAACUGACAUGAUAUGUUCUUCCAGUUUAUUCAAAGAAUUAUGAGAAGAAUCUCGGGCAUGUUAAUUGAAAAAUGCCCAAAAUGGACUGUUCAUAUUCAUGCCAUAGAAUCGCAAGUAUGUUAGUUUUAAACUCCAAUUAAAUGUUCUAAUCUUUCUUCAUUCAUUUAAGCAUGUGUUCCAUGAUUCAUGCUUUCUUUUUCCCCUUUUAAUUUUUCCUCUUGUUCUGUUUUAGCUUCCAUAAUAUUGGGAAUUGGUUGUUAAUGAUUUUGGGAAAAGGACUUGUUUUAUUUGGAUCCUAAGAGUGGCAGUCCUGAUCGUAAUUAUGUUCUCUUUUCCAUUUGACGCCAUUCAUAUUUAUAGGUUUCUUCAAUAUAUUUAAGAAAUAACAACUGUAGUUAUUUCAUACAAUGCCAUGACACUGUUCACUACGUAGUAUCUAUAGUAAGGAAGAAAUGAAAUUAUAGAUCUAAGAUAAGAUUUGUGGAGGUAAAACGCACUAUCUUACCUAAGUGCAGUGUGGCUAUUACUUUAACUAAAACAAAUGAGAUUUGUCACUAAUUUUUUAGUUUUUAACUGUGAAUAGACCCGUAACAAGUGGGAAAUGUGGAGUAUGGCCAUUAUGUCAUACGCCCUCUUGCUGACUCUUUAUUAGCCCAGGUGACAAAUCUUUGUUUUGCUUUUGUGUCCCUUUCUUGUUGAUUCUAUCAUGUUUCUUUGUAUUAAAAAGGGGAAAACUGUCUAAUUAAAUCACAAUGGUAAGAAACCUAAGUAUUGUUUUGAAGUUUGCUGGAAGGUAGUGUUGCUGCUUGGGUAUUCAAAGUCCCAAAAUCAUUAUACCUUUGAGGUUUGGCCAGAGAAGGAAGAUAAGAGUAUAUGAAACUAAAAGCUACAAUUACAUGGUCACAUCAUUUUAAUUGCUUAGGCUGCAUGGCUACACUUAAUGAAAUGUGCCAAUAAUGAUCAUAACUGAGGAAAAGAAUAACCAGCACGAACAUUUUGCACCGCUGUAUGAUGUCUACAAUUCCUGUGAAGUAACAGGCUCUAUACAUGGAUAAUGGAUUAUUAAUAGUGAGUUGGAGUUAGUUAUAUACAACAUCUUACAUUGUAUACCUUUAUUUUUAAAUUAUGUAAAUAAGUUCAUAUGACCUUCAUGCCUUGGUGUAAUGCAUUUGAUGCUUGUUGCAGACCUCUAUGGUUAAUGUAGUGAGACCUUGCUGGAUAAGUAAUCUUGAGCCAUUUAAUGGGAUGUGGCACUUGAGGGAGAAUGGGAAACCUCGUGGGCAGUUUGAUGUGGUUAUUAUUGCUCAUAAUGGUGAUUCAGUGCUGCUAUCCUUACCGUUCUGUCUCUGUGUGGAUGUUAUAGUCUUACAUUUGCAUUCCAAAAACGCAGGUUUUGUUUUUUGCAGUUGCAUGAAUGAGAAAAUUGGCUUUGCUAUUGGAAAAAAAUAAAAUAUUUCUUAUUUUACUCUCUAUCAUUACAGUGGAUUAGGAAUGGCAAAUAAUCUGGUUUGGCACGGGGAAACCCUGCCCAAAUCCAGACUCCUAUGGAAAGGGUCCCUCUUCCUAACCAACCUGGAAUACCCUGGCGGGUUAGAAUGCAUAUAGUAGUACAUUGUAUGACUUUAUAGUUUGCUGAGUUCUUAUGUUUUUUGGGAUAUUAGGACUUGCAGACUUUUCACUGUAAAUUUGGAGAAAAUGAUGGCUAGAUUACAAGUAAGAUUAAGAGCAACUUGUAUAUUUAGACAACUGGAAGACUGGUAUUGAAUGGCUAUUAGUUAGGUUAGAAUAAGAUGUGCUGAACUUUCAAUCUAUGUCAUUCAUUCACUGCCUUUAGAUUUCUCCACAACUCAUCAUGUUGAGUAUUAUGUAGGUUGUUAUGGAAGAGUUGAAAAUAUCUAUAUAAAUUUAACAACCAGAUUAGGUUUCUUGAUCCAGAAGUCAAGGUUAUGUUUGUUUCCUUAAUCUUUCUACUGUUAAUUGCCUAUGUCUUUCUCUGUUUACAUUUUGGCUUAGCUUUGUAAUUAUAGUACCUUCAUGUAAUGAUAGGAAAUGUGAAAAUUGGUUGCUUGGUUUAUCUGGCUUACCUCAAAUAGCUAUACAAAUGAAGGUAUAUGCUUUGAAAUAUACAGUUUUUUAAUAUUAUCUACCCUAUGUUUUAUUCAGUAUCAGCCAUUUCUAAUUAUUUUGAAGAUUCAUGAUGCAUUUUCCUGGUUUGUAGAGGUUGGAACUAAGUUCUAUAUGGGCCCUUCUUGCUGCAUUGGAGGACCUCCUCCCACUAGGCAGUGCAUCAACUUUGAAGGCGCCUUUGCUACAGGUGUUGAUUCUGUCUCAUGGAUGGCAAAUAACUAUGCAAAACUUUUGAGUUCUCAGAGUGAUGCUCCUCACUGUUGGACUUCUUCAACGCUGCAGCUUUAUGGAAAACGAAACAAAGUUCCACAGGUCAGUUCGUAUAUAAAUGUGUCUUGUUUAAAGUACUUGCCUACCCUGUUACAUCAUCAUUAUAUGCUAGCAUUGGCACACUUCUUAACCAAUUGCCUAGACAUCUAUUUGAAUCCAUUCAUGCUUCAGUAUUUAUUCCAAGUUAUUGAAACAAGGCUGCAAUAAGUUCAGUCUUUUCGUGCAUAUUUGUUUCCCUUUUAUACUCGAAUCAAUAUGACAUUUCAGUUUUACAGCAAACUUUGGUGCUGUGUAGGUACGUAUAUGUUGCAAUCUAGGCUUUCUGCAAGAUUUUUUAUGAUUGUUUUUAUCAUUAUUUUGAAAAUUAUCCCAACUGCAACAGCAGAGAAGGUGGAAAUGGGUAUGCUCGAGGGUGUUGAGGCUGUACUUGGCCUACCAAAAAGUUCACUUCAGAAGCCUGUUUAUACUCGGGUCCAAUUAUGGUAAGACUCCACGUUUAAGGACAUGACCUUGUAAUUUCAUUUUUAUCUUGUCCAUUUGGAUCCUUGUGACCUACUUGGGCUGUAACUAUUUGCUGUUGGUGUUGCUUUAGAAUGAGUGGUUUAUUUAGACAAACUUAACAAGUUUUUGUGUGGACUUGUGUAUAGUCCUAGUUCUAUUUUCCUGUUAUGCUCAUUUGAAAAACAAGAUGGAACAUGUCAUUCCGAUUUAUUAAAUAUAUAAAACAACUUGAGAAUUUCAUAAUUAAGAAAAUAGUUCCUCUGACGAAUUUGGUAUUAUCUUUGUUCCUCAAGGAAGGGCCAGUAUAUGUGGCGGUUGGCUGUUGGCUGCAAGUGUAGAGUCGGCUGCCUUAGGUGGCAUGGCUCUUGCCAAUCAUGUAAGCAAGAAUAUGAUUUUCUUUUGCUUAUUUGUUUUAUUUUGUGCAUAUAACUGUAUAUUUCAUGGUUGACAUAAAGUAAAUAAAUAAAUAAUUCUAACACAACCUUUUUGUCCCUAUAUGGACAUCUAAAUAUAAAUUUGUAGAUUGGCUUCAAUCAGAUUGAAAUAUCAGACAAGCUUAACAACUUAAGCUUGAAGCUUGAUUAUUCUUAUAUAAAUAAUGUAGUUGGUCUACAUAGAUUGCAGACUAUUUAGGAAGUGGUGGAGUUCAUCCUGAGGAACUUGCUGUUGGUUUAUACAAUGAUUUUCAGCCACUUGAAGGACAUGAUACUGGACAAUUUCCGGGUUUUGGAGUCCAUGGGAAAAGAGGAAGUUCAAGCAUAUCAACUUACCUCUUGAAUCCCUAAGCAGGCCAUGAAAAUUUCUAGUGUUUGUCAAGGUAUGCUUCUAUUGAUACACUGUGUAUGGCUUUCUGUUUUUCACUUGGGUUACUGUCAUGUUUAUUCUCUUGUUUUUAUAGCUAGGAUUAAGGAGUUUAUUCACUAGGUGCUGUUGUCGUCAUAGUUGCUAAGCAAGUAUCCUGAAGUUCUUUUUGUGAUACCAUCCAUCACGAAACAUAAUGAGUACAGAUUCAGAGUAAAGGGGAUUCUUCGGGCGGCUAAAUCUUUUCUGAAAACUUGUUUUCAGUAGCAUAGAUGACAGGAAUCGUGAUAUUUCCCGGGCUUUCAUGGAAGAAAAUUUUCUAAUAACUGAAACUCUUUUCAGUUGUCCACAAAUCAAAUUUGAAUAUGAAGCCAAAUAUCAGAUGCAGAUUUACGGGCUUCUUUCAGAGCGACAAAGUUCAAUGCUAUCAGUUGUAUGGGUUCAAGUGAUCGGAGCUUCAUCCAGCUCAAGUACACAUAACAGAGUAUGAAAAAUAUCCAAACUUACCGUUAAAAGUUCUCAAGUUCCAGAUUUGACCUGUAGUCACAUUCAAGUUUAUACAUGACUACUGAUAUACGAAAUGGCAAUAUUAUUCAGUUCCAGGAAAGUUACAUGCAUAGGAUCUGAGUUUCAUUUUAAUUGAAUGGUUUCAAGCUGCAAUAUAUUAUAUAUAUAUUUUAUAAUUAAUGGAGUUUGCAUUCCUCAUUACAGGAUAAGAAAGGAAGAUUAAUUCUCAGUUGGAAAAGCAUUGAAACAAGCUUCUCAUGCUCAUAAUCAGCUUCCCAGUUGCUCACCACGGUAUCUUUUCCAUAUGCACGUGUUGAUAAAAUUAUUUCUUGGUUAUAUAACCUGGAUAAAUAGCUGUUCGUUGGCAACACAAGCAACAAAAUUACACAAAUUAAUUCCAACAAAAAUAAUAUUUUUACACGAGAUAUUUGGUUGAGAGAAGAGGGUUAAUUAGAUGUUUACUAUUGAGAUCACAAUUUUGAAAUGAGCACAGGCAAUUGAACAAGCUGUUACACAGACCAUCCAGCUGAAGAAAUCAACGACUCUUCGGCAUUCGUAUGCAAGCUCGAAAACCACUGUCCUUCUGCUAAAUUAACUUGAUAGCUAGCAACCAAGACAAGGAGGAGAACCCGGCACAUUUGCAGUUUCUAGUUUUUCAUGCUUGCCAUCUUUUCUUGUGAUUGAAAUGAGUUGAGAUUUAUUUAAAGGUUUUAUCUUAGUAUGCAAUUAAUGGUUUGAAAACAGAUUAUAUGUUAUUACAAGUUAAUUUUUCUGAUAACAAUUGUUGGAAUAGGAUUCUUGUUGUAGUAUAAUUAUUAAACAUGAUUUUAUAAUUAAUGAUUCAUACAUUAAGUAAAAUAGAAACCAGGAUUUGAAAACUACCAUGUUAGUAAAAUCACUUGGAAGCAAAAGCUUAGAAUUAUCAUAUGGUGUGAAAACCGGAAAGUUCUAUGAAAACGGGAAAGUUCUAUGAAGAGAGAUGAAAUUUUCUGAAGUUCAACUGAAAUGAUUGCAAGAUUUAAUCCAACAAUGCAAGAACAUAUUUGACAUAUUAAAACUGAUGAAAAAUUCUUUAUCAUUUUCUUGGAGGUGAUCAAAGUAUUUUUGAAUUAUACUUGAUUGUACUCCAAAUGUAAGACGAAAAAGAAAUCUCUUUUAAUGUGGUUAUUCCAAAAUGGCAGAAUCUACUAUUUUGAAUCAAAGUAUAUCAUUAGAACAAGAAGGAGAGCCAAGGACAUUUUAUUUUGAGAACUACCUGAUAGAGUGCUCCAUUCUUGACAUAGUACCGGCCUUCGUCGUCAUGCCACAGAAUCUGAUCUUCUUUGAGGAAAUGAAUGCUUUGAUGGAAGAAGAUCUUGAGCAAGAAAAAGGCCAGCAUGGAAGAGAGAUGAAGAAAAUCUCCAAUUAUGCAAAUAUGGUCUGAUUGGCCUGUAAGAUAACUAACCAAACUAAUCACUACUUUCAAUCUCAAUCAAAUUCCAAAAACAAUCUAUUUUCUAUUCAAACUCAGGUGGUGAUCGGCUAAAUAAAUUUGUUUGAAAACUACCGAACAAAGCUCUAGGGAUAUAGUACAUUGUUUAUUGAAAUUGAAUACGUAGACAGAAAUAUAAGAGCAUCUUGUUGAAAUUUGUUUGAGAUGUAGUGAUUGAUUUGGUAUAACAUAUGUAUCCAUGUCCAGGAUGAAGCUUGGCCGAAACUAAGUAGGUUAGAAUAAUAUGAGCUGACUUUCAAUCUAUGCCAUUGAUUCAAUGACUUUAGAUAUGUCCGUGAUAUAAACUAUUAAAAUAAUUAAAAUUAUGUAUUUUAUUUCUUUAAUUUUAUGGUAUUAGUUAAUUUUGAACUAGUCAAAAGUAGUUGCACUUAUUUUGUGGAACUACAUGUAAUUAGUGGAGAAUUAUGUGAGAACGUGCUUAGUGUCACUAAUUUUUAGGUUGUAAUCCUAAAUAAGCUUUAUUAUAUAAAGCUUGAUGUUAUUCAAUAAAAAGUAUCAUAAGUUUAUUAUUUUGGCAACAUAAAAGUUGUAAUUGGGAGUUUAUUGGUUUCUCGAAUAACCAAUACUUAUUUGGAGAUUUGGAUUUGUUCGAAUUAACCCCAUUUAUCAUCUAAUUUUUCUAUUUCAUUUGAUUUCUUCUUAUAAACUUUAGUGCUCGUAUCAGUCCACAACUCAUCAUGCUGAUAAUGUCCUAUCUGUGACUUGUAAAAUUUCUCUUAUGAGUAUUACAUAAGCUGUUAUGAAAGAGCCUUUAUUAGAGGAGUUGAUUCUGUCUCAUGGAUGGCAAAUAACUCAGCGACGCUUUUGAGUCCUCAAAGUGAUGGUUCUCAUUGUUGGACCUUCUUCAGCACUGCAGCUUACGGGAAAGGAAACAAGGUUCCACUGGUCAGUUUGUUUGUAAAUGCAUGUCUUGUUAAAUACUUAUGAUUAUAUGCUGGCAUUGUCACACUUUUCUAACCAAUAGGCUAGGCCUCUAGUUGAAUUCAUUCAUCCUUCAGCUUGCAAUCUCAAGCUAUUGAAACGUGGUUUUUUUUUACCGCAUAUUUAUAUAGAGUUUGCAAUAAGAUUAGCUUUAUCUUCCCUUUUGUACUUGAAUCAAUAUGACAUUUCAAAUUUUACAGCAAAAUUAUGUGCUGCGUUGAUAUGUAUAUGUUGCAAUUUAGGCUUUUUGCAAGAUUUUUACGAUUGUUUUCAUAAUUUAUUAGGAAAAUAUGCCAACUGCAACAGCAUCGAAGGUGAAAACAGGUAUGCUCGAGGGUGUUGGAGCCGUUGCUUGGCCUGCCGAUAGGUCUUGUCGGAAGCCCAUUUAUACUUGAGUCCAAUUAUGGUAAGGAUCCACUUUUAUGGACAUGACCUUGCAAUUUCAUUUAUAUCAUGUCCCAUUUGGAUCCCUUGUGACCUACUUGGGCAGUAACCAUUUGCUGUUGCUUUACAAUGAUUGGUUCACUUGGGCAAGCAUCAAGUAUAAUAUUAAAACAUAGGUAACAAACAAGAUUAGGCUCAACUCGAAUUCUUCAAACUAGUGAGAUAAGACCCUGCAAAACCUGAGUUUGUCAACCACAGCGAUGUUGGAAAUAUUCAGGUUCUUUUUACUGUGCUUUGUUGUAUAUAUCAGGCGAAUAUGGCUCGGGAGGACAAAUGGGAUAAGACCCUGCAAACCAAAUAUAUGAGGCAAGCCCAAGAACAAAUGACAGCUAUAGUCUCUUUGUUUGCAUUUGGGAAAUAGUACACGAAACAAUAGUCUCUUCGUUUGCAUAUUUUUCCAACUCGCUGUAAUUUGUAUAUACAUUGUGGGGUUUAAAAAGUUCUCAAACUGAAAAAAGAAAUCAUGCGUUGAUUUAAUUGUAUAUGUCUUUGUUCGUCUUUUAUUGUAAUUCUGAUUAAGAUUAAAUUUGUAAAUCAAAUAAAUUACUGUAUGUUAAAUAUUUGUUUUUCCUUUUUCCAAUUUUAAGGAUGGAACUUUGAUUACUUAUAGAAUGACAAUCACAUGGAAUUAUCAAUGAGCACCCAUGAGCCGUAUAUCAAAAUUCAAUAGCCCCAGAGCCAAUUAUAAUUUUUCUCAUUGAUAUCUAUUGCUUUUGGGUCUGGGGGUGUUUGAUGUUGAUUGCCGGGAUUGUCAUUGAUAUCUAUUGUUUGAUGCUGAUUGCUCUGGGGCUGUUGAAUUUUUUUGCCCUUUUUUUUUUCAUUCCACACAUCCUAAUAUGCGCACAAAAGAUAUCAAUGAUAUUAAUGACAAUAUCAUAUAUCAAAAUUCAACAGCCCCAGAGCAAUCAGCAUCAAACAAUAGAUAUCAAUGACAAUCCCGGCAAUCAACAUCAAACACCCCCAGACCCAAAAGCAAUCGAUAUCAAUGAACACCCAUGAGCCAUGAAUAAUAUCAAUAAAUUCCUUGGUUGAAACCUCGAAGAAACCCAGAAACCCUUCAAUUCAAACCUCAAAAAAUGUGCCCCGGAUAUAACUCAUAUCAGCGCUCUGUUUUCUGGGAUGAGGAUAAAAACCUCGUUCAUUUCAAGAACCCUCUUCCAUCAGGGAUGAAGAAAGAGGAUGUGAAGGUUGAGAUUGAUGAAGAUGGGAAAUUGCUUAUAGAAACAAGCAAAGGGGUAAGGUCACAUAUUGAUCCUCUCUCUUCAGCUUCUUCCUCGAUGAUCAGAUUCGGAUCCUCUUUCCUAAGCUUCUCGAAGAAAAAUGAAGGAGACACCGCCAGCCCGAUAAUGUCGAUGAAAUUCAACUUCCCAGCAGGUCUUGACCCGAAAGGCUUCAAGACUGCAAUCGAUGACGAGGGGUUGCUGACUCUCACUUUUAAAAAGCUCGUUGCCAUUCAUUCCGAAACGCCCUUCGACCUCAAAAACGACUCCGAGUGGGUGACUGCUAAAGAGAACAACAAGGACAUUGUUCACUUCAAGGCCAAUUUGGCAGCGGGCACGAAGAUGGGGGAUGUGAUGGUUGGUAUAGCAGGUGGUAAUUCCCUUAUCAUAGGUUUGCUGAAGAAAGAGGAAGGGGACACCAAUAUUCUCAAGCGGUUCCAUGGCAACAACUGUUGGAUCUCCGUUUUGCCAGAUGGUGCGAACCCGGAUGGCUUCAAGGAUGCAAUGGAUGAUGCCGGCCUUCUAACUGUCACCUUCACUAAACUGAAGCCAGAGAAGAAGAAGCUGAUGCCAAGCCCAAAGAAGAUACUGGGAUAUUUGGCCUGCUUGUUUGCUGAUAGGUUGCAGGAUAGGUGAUGAGAUGAGUUCAGGAGACUACUAGUAAGCUGGUGUCAAGUAGAUAUUUCCUUCAUGUUCAUGUGUUUUGUUCUGUCGUUUAUCUUUAGCGUUUGAAAGAAACUCUGGACGUCUAGACCAGGUGUUCGUUAAUUUCUGUGUUUGCGUGGUGUUGUAUCUCCUUUGUGUCAGUGAAAUAGAAAGGGCUUUGUCUAAUAAAAAAUGAUAAACGCUGUUGAGCGAAAAAUAAAUGCAUUUUUUUUUUUUUAAUCGUGUUGAAUAUUAAAAAAAAAAAACAAGGCCUGUUUUCAUGCAUACGUGCAGCCACAAGAUAAAGGAGUAACUGGAGAUCGGUCAGGUGAGCCAAUCAUGCUACAGAAUCUGCAAUCUGUGUAUAAAAGAAUUAAAAAGACAAAAAAAAAAAAAAAAAAACUGCUAGCGGUUGGUUACUUUUUUUAUUUAUAAAUGAGUACAUCGGUAAUGGUAUCGGGCCAAUGCUCGAGCCAGAGCCCCACUUUUCUCCUUUAAUAAUCGCUCAUUUCACUAUUUCAGCGCAAUAGAGGGUAGGGUGAUGCUAAGUUACAGUAUUUGUACCUUACAGCCACCUUAGUACAGAAAAACAAAAAGCGGACACAAGUGGGGUUCAUGGUCACUUUGUGAGGGUGCUGUAAGGUACAGAUACUGUACCGUAGCAUUCUCCGAGAGAGUAAAGGCAACUUUUGAAGAUAAGAACGAGAUGACAGAGAAAAUAAAACGACCCAUGUGAUUAUCAGUCCAUAGAAAUCUACACCAAAUUCUCAGGUCUCCGCAGUGACGCGCACACAAAUAUUUCAAGAUUAUGGCAACUUCUGCAACUCAUUCCUUUGAGCUUCAAGGUGGCCAUCGAAAAAAUAACUGGGUAAUAUGACACAACAAAGAUUUACCUUCACCGAACUGAAGCCGGAGAAAAAGGCGGUGUCAAGAUCAAAGAAGAUGCCGCGAGGUUUGGCUGAAGCAGUGCCUGUUUGUAUCUUGAUAGGUUACUAGAUAAGUUGGGGAGACUACUAAUUAGCUGGUGGCAGGUAAGGUAUUUGCUAACAUCAUGUUCCAAAAUGCAAAAUCCUGUAUAGUUUGCUAUUGGAAAAUAGGAAAAAAGGAAAAAAAGAUAUCUAGUUUUACAUUCUACCAUUACAAUGGAUUAGGAAUGGUGAAGAAUCUCAUUUGGUACAGGGCAACCUUUUCAAAAUGCAAAAUCCUGUAUAGUUUGUUGAUAUAUAUAUAUAUAUUUUUUUUUUUCUUUUGUGGGAUACUAGAACUUCAGAAAGAUUGGAAAACUUCAUAAAAUUUCAUACAGAUUUUUUCACUCUAAAUUUUGAGAAAAUGAUAGCUAGAUUACAACUAAGAUUAAUAGCAACUCUCAGCUGCAAACAACUAGAAGGCUGGUACUAAAUGCCAAUUUUGAAAUAGAACAUGAAGCCGUAAGUUCCCAAGUAGUGGAAGGAGCCCAAGGCUCUGAUCAUGUGCCCGUUGAAGAAUGAGCCGGCAAAUCCUAAGCAGUGGCUUGGUUAGGGAAAGCCACCGAAAUGAGUCUCCAUUGGGCAAUUGCCACUACUUAUGUACCCAAACAUGGGUGAUCUAUCCCUGACCAGGAUGAAGCUUGGGCGAAACUGAGUAGGUUAGAAUAAUAUGAGCUGACUUUCAAUCUAUGCCAUUCAUUCAAUGACUUUGGAUAUGUCCACAACUCAUCAUCUUGAUAAUGUCCUAUCAGUGUCUUGUAAACUUCUCUUAUGAGUAUUAAAUAGGUUGUUAUGAAAGAAUUGAAAUCAUCUUUAUAAAUGUAACGACCAGAUAGGGUUCUAGACCUAGAAGAUGAGGUUAUGUUUGUUUCCUUUCUGUUUCUUGUUGAUUGUAGACUGUUUAUUGCUUGUGGCUGCUAUUUACAGUUUGGCUUUGUGCUGUGGUAAUGGUUCCCUAAUGUAAUGGGAGGAAAAUUUUCAAAUUGGCUGCUUGGUUCAUCUAGCUUACCUCUAAUAGCUAGACAAAACGAAGUUAUAUAUACUUUGAAAUAUUAAGUUUUUUUUGUAUUAUUAUCUGUUACAGAGCAUGGUCAGAGCUGUGAGGAUGAGCACACUUGAUAACUUGAUAGCUUACGUGUAAAAGAGUCAGUUAGCUGAGUCAGCUACUUGGUUAACCAAUUGGUUUAGCGUGUAUAGAAUAUAAAACAGAUUUAGUUUACAUUGUAACCAAGUAUAAAUAAAGAGCUGUAAGCACGAUUGUGUGGUUGAGUUUUAUUCAAUAAAUUCCAGAUUCUUCUUCAUAACUUUUCUUCGUUUUCUCAUUGUUUUUCUUACUCUCCAAACACAUAAUUACAGAUUCUUUCAUGGUAUCAGAGCAAUCAAUGAUGAGCUCGAAUCAAACCUCUGGAUCUUAUAGUUUUGUUACUCCUGUGAAACUCGACCAGAAUAACUUCAUUGUUUGGAGAACUCAGAUUUUAACAACGAUUAAAGGUAACAGGUUGGAGAGCUUUAUCAAUGGUGAUCGAGCCUGUCCAGAGCAAUUUCUUCCAUCAGCUGUCACUGGAGCUAUUGAUUCAACAAGAUCAAAGGAUUGAGAAAUUAAUCCAGAGUUUUUAGCUUAGGUGAAGACUGAUCAGUUGAUUCUGAGUUGGAUGAUGUCAUCAAUUCAACAAAAUUUGCUGGCAACGGUGAUUCAUUGCUCUACUGCUAAAGAGCUUCUGGACACACUUACUAGUAUGUUUAUCUCACAAUCUCAGGCUAGAAUAAUGCCUCUUAAAAUGCAGAUUCAAACACUUAAAAAAGGCUCAAUGUCAAUGAUUGAUUAUUUUGCUAAAAUGAAAAGGUUAUCUGAUAGCUUAGCUCUGGCUGGAAAACCUGUUGAAUUGAAUGAUUUUGUUCAAUAUGUUUUGACUGGAUUGGAUUCCUCAGAUUAUGAGUCUCUUGUUACGAGCGUCUUAGCUAGAGGUGACAAGAUUAAUCUUGAUGAGUUUUACUCUUUACUGUUAAGUCAUGAGAAUAGAGUUGAGCAGAAGAGAGGCAAAAUUGCUAGUGAUGUUACUCAUAAUUUGUCAGCUAAUAUGGCAUAAAAACAGUUUAAUUCUGGAAAAAAUGCUGGUGGUAAUCCAAGAUAUAAUAAUAAUAUAACUUAUGGUGGAGGUGUCUAUGGAAAUUUUGCUAAUGGAAAUGGUAUGGGACAAUCUGGUGAUGGUAAUUCAACUAUCAUUUGUCAAAUCUGUUUUAUACCGGGUCAUGGAGCUCACAAGUGCAAGAAUAGGUACAAUUCUGCUUUUGUACCUUCAAGGAAUCAAGCAAGAGGAAAUUUUAAUGGCAAUUUUAGGGCUGGUCAAAGGAAUUUUGGAAGGGGAUUUGGAAAUUCAGGUGGCAGAUUUUUUAAUGGUGCUUAUGGCAGAGGGUUUAAUUCUCAAUUUGGCAAUGUCUUUACUAAACAUAAUGCUGGAAAUUUCAAUUUGCCAAGAGGUCCAGGAUAUCAAAGCUAUGUGAUGUGCUCAGAUCCAGCUGCUUUUUAUGUUACUCAACCUGGUAGCUCCACUAAUGCAAGUUCUUCUGCUUCUGGUUUUGGUUUUACUGGAGAUUACAGUGGCUGCUCUCCUUCCGCACCCACAGUUCCUACUCCUGAGAUGGUUGAAGAUCCCACCUGGUACAUUGACAGUGGUGCAACUAAUCAUAUCACCAAUGAUGCAGGUAAACUUCUUGAACCAAAAUCUUAUAGUGGAAGUGAAAAGUUGCUUGUUGGUAAUGGUUCUUCUCUGCAUAUUAAACAAGUUGGAUCAGUAUUGCUAGCCACAACUACAUCUGAAUCUUUGUUGCUAAGUCAUGUUCUUUAUGUUCCUCAAAUAACAAUUCCAGAUUCUUCUUCAUAACUUUUCUUCGUUUUCUCAUUGUUUUUCUUACUCUCCAAACACAUAAUUACAGAUUCUUUCAUGGUAUCAGAGCAAUCAAUGAUGAGCUCGAAUCAAACCUCUGGAUCUUAUAGUUUUGUUACUCCUGUGAAACUCGACCAGAAUAACUUCAUUGUUUGGAGAACUCAGAUUUUAACAACGAUUAAAGGUAACAGGUUGGAGAGCUUUAUCAAUGGUGAUCGAGCCUGUCCAGAGCAAUUUCUUCCAUCAGCUGUCACUGGAGCUAUUGAUUCAACAAGAUCAAAGGAUUGAGAAAUUAAUCCAGAGUUUUUAGCUUAGGUGAAGACUGAUCAGUUGAUUCUGAGUUGGAUGAUGUCAUCAAUUCAACAAAAUUUGCUGGCAACGGUGAUUCAUUGCUCUACUGCUAAAGAGCUUCUGGACACACUUACUAGUAUGUUUAUCUCACAAUCUCAGGCUAGAAUAAUGCCUCUUAAAAUGCAGAUUCAAACACUUAAAAAAGGCUCAAUGUCAAUGAUUGAUUAUUUUGCUAAAAUGAAAAGGUUAUCUGAUAGCUUAGCUCUGGCUGGAAAACCUGUUGAAUUGAAUGAUUUUGUUCAAUAUGUUUUGACUGGAUUGGAUUCCUCAGAUUAUGAGUCUCUUGUUACGAGCGUCUUAGCUAGAGGUGACAAGAUUAAUCUUGAUGAGUUUUACUCUUUACUGUUAAGUCAUGAGAAUAGAGUUGAGCAGAAGAGAGGCAAAAUUGCUAGUGAUGUUACUCAUAAUUUGUCAGCUAAUAUGGCAUAAAAACAGUUUAAUUCUGGAAAAAAUGCUGGUGGUAAUCCAAGAUAUAAUAAUAAUAUAACUUAUGGUGGAGGUGUCUAUGGAAAUUUUGCUAAUGGAAAUGGUAUGGGACAAUCUGGUGAUGGUAAUUCAACUAUCAUUUGUCAAAUCUGUUUUAUACCGGGUCAUGGAGCUCACAAGUGCAAGAAUAGGUACAAUUCUGCUUUUGUACCUUCAAGGAAUCAAGCAAGAGGAAAUUUUAAUGGCAAUUUUAGGGCUGGUCAAAGGAAUUUUGGAAGGGGAUUUGGAAAUUCAGGUGGCAGAUUUUUUAAUGGUGCUUAUGGCAGAGGGUUUAAUUCUCAAUUUGGCAAUGUCUUUACUAAACAUAAUGCUGGAAAUUUCAAUUUGCCAAGAGGUCCAGGAUAUCAAAGCUAUGUGAUGUGCUCAGAUCCAGCUGCUUUUUAUGUUACUCAACCUGGUAGCUCCACUAAUGCAAGUUCUUCUGCUUCUGGUUUUGGUUUUACUGGAGAUUACAGUGGCUGCUCUCCUUCCGCACCCACAGUUCCUACUCCUGAGAUGGUUGAAGAUCCCACCUGGUACAUUGACAGUGGUGCAACUAAUCAUAUCACCAAUGAUGCAGGUAAACUUCUUGAACCAAAAUCUUAUAGUGGAAGUGAAAAGUUGCUUGUUGGUAAUGGUUCUUCUCUGCAUAUUAAACAAGUUGGAUCAGUAUUGCUAGCCACAACUACAUCUGAAUCUUUGUUGCUAAGUCAUGUUCUUUAUGUUCCUCAAAUAACCAAAAAUUUACUUAGUGUCUCAAAACUUCUAGCUGAUAAUAAUGCUACUAUUGAAUUUCUUGAAAAUUGUUGUUUUGUUAAGGCCAGGAGCUUAGGGACCAUCUUGCUUAAAGGAAUUGCAAAAGGAGGAUUGUAUCAAGUCCAAAUUGCAUCCCAAUCUUCUGAUGAUAGCCCAGUUUCAUUUUGUCAAUCUUCUGUCAAUCACUUUGAAUCUAUGUUUGCUUAUUUUCCUUCUUUGUCUUGUAAUGGUUCUGCUGUCCAGAAUAAUCCUUCCCUUGUCAGUAAUAACUUAUGUAAGUCAGCCCUGAUAGUUAAUGCAAGCACUGCUGACAUCAAUUUGCUUCACAAAAGGCUAGGACAUCCGGCUUUUCAUACUCUAAAAAAUGUAUUGAAGGAUUGUACUGACUUUUCCUUGAAUAAAAUCAAACACUUGAGUUUCUGUAAUGCUUGUCAAUUUGGUAAAAGUCAUCUGUUACACUUUGAUUCUGUUCCAACAAAAACAGUAGAGCCUCUUCAACUCUUAUAUGCUGAUCUUUGGGGUCCUUCUCAUGUUACUUCAACUCAGGGUUAUUCCUAUUAUUUUUCCAUUCUAGAUGAUUUCAGUAGGUUUACAUGGAUCUUUCCCUUGACUGCUAAAUCUGAUGCUCUUCAAGUGUUCAUAAACUUCAAAAACUUCAUUGAAAAACACUUGCAUAGGCAUAUCAAAACUGUCCAGACAGAUUGGGGAAUGGAAUUUAGAAGUUUCUCCAUAUAUCUUGAUCAAUUUGGUAUUCAAUUCCGACAUCCUUGUCCUCAUAUUCAUCAUCAAAAUGGUAGAAUAGAAAGAAAACAUAGGCACAUUGUGGAUAUUGGCCUCACUUUGUUAGCCCAAACAAGUUUGCCACUAAAAUUCUGGUGGAAUGCUUUUCACACAGUUGUGUUUCUCAUCAAUAGAUUACCUACACCAACCUUGAAUAAUAUUUCACCUUAUCAAAAAAUCUUUCAUCAAAAACCAGAUUACAAUUUUCUUAGAACCUUUGGUUGUGCUUGUUAUCCGUACCUCAGGCCAUAUAAUAGGCACAAACUUGAGUUUAGAUCAGGUAGAUGUGUCUUCAUUGGGUACAGCUCUCAACAUAAAGGGUACCAAUGUCUUCAUUCUUCUGGUAGGGUGUACAUCACCAAUCAUGUCAUCUUUGAUGAAAACUCCUUUCCAUAUGUGCCUGGCUCAUACUUUUCUUCUGUCACACAAUCAUGUAAUUCAAAUGAUACAGUUUCCCAUUCGUCCACUAUCUCUACUCCUAUCUUUACUCAUUUUCCAGCACUGCAAUCUCCUCUACAAUCCUCUUCAGCAAGUGGUUCCUCCGAGUUUUCAACAACAAUUCCUAGCCAGGUAAAAUCCCCUUAUUCUUCUUCUCAUACACCACAAAUGUCUGAUAUACAACCUUUAAAUGAUACUCAAUCACCACCACAUAUAAUACCUGCUGCACCACUAAUAGGACAUUCUAUGAUCACCAGAUCUAAAGCUGGCAUUUUUAAGCCAAAGUCUUAUCUUGCUGCUCUUUUAGCCACACUCUCAAAACCUACCUCUGUUUCCCAAGCAAUCACUGAUCCAAAAUGGUUUUAAGCAAUGCAUGAGGAGUAUCAAGCACUUCAAAACAAUCAUACCUGGGUUUUAGUACUACCAUCAACACCUGUCAAAGUAAUUGGCGGCAAGUUGGUUUUCAGAAUUAAAUAUAACUCGGAUGGAACCAUUUCUAGAUACAAAGCAAGACUUGUGGCAAAAGGUUUCCAUUAGACACAUGGAAUAGAUUAUACUGAAAGCUAUAGUCCAGUUGUGAAAGCUUCCGCAGUUAGAAUAGUUUUGAGUUUAGCUGUCAUGAACAAAUGGAUCCUCAGACAGGUAGAUGUAAACAAUGCAUUCUUGAAUGGUUUUUUGGUUGAAGAUGUGUAUAUGGUCCAGCCUGAAGGAUUUGUUGAUCCUACAAAGCCUACUCAUGUAUGCAAACUCAAGAAGGCCAUCUAUGGAUUAAAGCAAGCCCCCCGAGCAUGGUUUGACAGAUUCAAGAAUGCUAUGGUAGAUCAGUGUGGUUUUUUAAACUCUAAGUCUGACAGCUCUCUCUUCUAUAAGUGGGAAAAUAAUCAUAUCUUGCUUGUCUUAGUAUAUGUUGAUGACAUAAUUGUUACUGGAUCUAACUACCAACUAGUGCAGCAAGUAAUUCAUAAUAUGCAGACUACUUUUGCCUUGAAGGAUUUGGGGGAGUUAAGCUAUUUUCUUGGGAUUGAAGUCUCUAAGACAGCAGCUGGAGUUCAUCUAUCUCAAGCCAAAUAUAUAGCUAAUCUCUUCGCAAAACAUGAUAUGGCAAGUUGCAGUCCAGUUCCUACUCUUAUGUCCACAGGGCAUCAUCUCACAAAAGGUUCAGGCUCACCUAUUUCGAAUGCAUCUUAGUACAAAAGUAUAAUUGGGGCCUUGCAGUAUGUGACUCUAACAAGACCUGAGAUAGCAUUCUCAGUUAACAAACUAAGUCAAUUUCUAUCUUUACCAAUGAUAGAACAUUGGGAAGCAUGGAAAAGACUUUUGAGGUAUUUGAAGGGAUCCAUUCAUUUUGGCUUGCAUUUUUAUCAUUGUGGAACUUUACAAGUGAACUGUUAUAGUGAUUCUGAUUGGGCAUGUGACAAAGACGAUAGAAAAUCAGUAGCUGGGUAUGCAGUGUAUCUUGGUUCGAAUUUAGUUUCAUGGUGUUCUAAGAAACAACAAGUGGUUUCAAGGUCCAGUACUGAAGCUGAGUACAGAGCCUUAGCUCAAGCUACAUCUGAAGUUGUUUGGAUUGAAAAUCUGCUUAGUGAGUUGAAAAUCAAACUUGUUGCAGAACCUAUUAUGUGGUGUGAUAAUCAAGGUGCCAUAGCUUUGGCUUACAAUCCAGUUUAUCAUGCUAAAACUAAGCAUGUUGAAUUGGACAUUCACUUUAUCAGGGAGAAAAUAGCGGCCAAAAAGAUUGAAGUGCAAUUUGUUCCAAGUGAGGAUCAAACUGUAGAUAUACUUAUCAAGCCAUUAACUUUUGACCGCUUCCAUUAUCUUCGCAGCAAGCUAAAUGUCCAUCCUGGACAGUUUAGCUUGAGAGGGGAUGUUACAGAGCAUGGUCAGAGCUGCGAGGAUGAGCACACUUGAUAACUUGAUAGCUAACGUGUAAAAGAGUCAGUUAGCUGAGUCAGCUACUUUGUUAACCAAUUGGUUUAGCGUGUAUAGAAUAUAAAACAGAUUUAGUUUACAUUGUAACUAAGUAUAAAUAAAUAGUUGUUAUCUAGCACAUGUUUUAUUCAGUAUCAGCCAUUUAUAAAUUAUUUCAAAGAUUCAUGGUGCAUUUUCCUGGUUUGCAGAGGCUAGAACUAGGUUUUAUAUCGGCCCUUCUUGUCGCAUUUGAGGAUCCCCUUCAACUAGGCAGUGACAUUUGAAGGAGCUUUUAUUAGAGGUGUUGAUUCUGUCUCAUGGAUGGCAAAUAACUUAGUGAAGCUUUUGAGUUCUCAAAGUGAUGGUUUUUCAUUGUUGGACCUUCUUCAAACUAGUGAUACUGGAAUUUUUUGUUUCUGAGUUUGUCAACCACAUCCAUGUUGGAAAUAUUCAGGUUCUUUUUGUUGUGCUUUGUUGUAUAUAUCAGGCGAAUAUGGUUCGAGAGGACAAAUGGGAUAAGACCCUGCAAACCAAAUAUACGAGGCAAGCCCAAGAACAAAUGAGAGCCAUAGUCUCUUUGUUUGCAUUUGAGAAAUAGUACACGAAACAAUAGUCUCUUCGUUUGCAUAUUUUUCCAACUUGCUGUAAUUUGUAUAUACACUGUGGGGUUUAAAAAGUUCUCAAACUGAAAAAAGAAAUCAUGCGUUGAUUUAAUUGUAUAUGCCUUUGUUCUUCUUUUAUUGUAAUUUUGAUUACGAUUAAAUUUGUAAACUGCAUUGAGGAAUUUUAUCGAGACUUUUGAGAAGUGCGAGAAGAAGCUCACACCUACAGAGGGGUGCCGGUUGUCCCACCUCGUCGAAGGGAUGUUAAAGAUUUUUAAUGGGCUAAGCCAACAUGGCCCUCUUAGAUAUUUUGGGCUUUUACCAACAAGUUCCUGGUCACACCCCUCAAACCUCCUUAUCAAACCUUUUUUUUUUAAAUAAAAAUAAAAUCACUAAAUAACUAAAUACAAUUUAAUUUCUUUCUUUAUUUUUAAAUGAAAAUUUAAUUAUAUAUUUAAAUAAAUUGUUAUUUUAACAAAUAUUUUAUUCCUGCCCCAUUUUAUAAUUAUAUUUUGAUUUCAAUAACUCGAUAUAUCAACACACGAUUUUCAAGUUCUUUUAUUUUGACUCGCCAAUCAAUAGGAGGCUGAGAUACUGUUUUUGAUGACCUCAUUACACAUAGAUUGCAGAGUUUGUUGAGAUUGCACGAAUUUGCAAUGAUAAUGUUGUCUUUUUAGCCACUGUGAUAGUGUUUCUGAUGACUUCCGUUCCCUGACAGCAUUGAAACAUUUAGAUGACAUCCUUGAAGGGGAGAAAUUUUCAAGAUUCUCAAGGAGGAAUUUUUUUAGCAGCUUAAAUGGAUUUUUAAAAGCCUCAGAUCAAAUGAAAUGUUCAUUGAAUUGGAUGAAACUACAAUUAAGGUAAAUACGAGCAAGAGAUGCUGCCUUUACUAAAACAUUCCGGUAUGAUAAAAAUUGUUACAAAAACUUUUUAACUUUUGUAACAAACAAUCAAUGGUCCAGGUUACAUCAAAACUAAAAUAAAGAAGCACAACAAAUUCUAUACACAAUUUGUCUUGAAGUCCCUUGCUGAGUCACCAUGCUUACAACAGUGUCGAUCUUUUUAUUUCAAGCUCUUUCUUCUUGAUGCUUUGAUAUCAGCCAUUGGAUCACUGGGUGAUGGUUGUCGAAGCCAGCAAAAAUAAAUACCUACUCUAAAUAAAUUGUGUAUAGUGAUUGAGCAGGGUCGUGUCCACAGAGAUCGGUAAUUAUUUAAAUCCUUUUGAAACGUAAAACGUAAAAUGAGAGAAUUGUUGACAAUAAUAAAAAUCAAAUUAAAAUAACAAGAAUGUAAAUUAAAGUUGUAAUUCAAAUUGGAAAAAGCUCUAGUUGAAGGAAAUAACUCAGCUUGAUUCUACUACUCAUCAUUGAUUCAAAUAUAAAUUAUUACUACUUAUGAAUAGACCAGUUAUAGCUACUGAGACCCUCUAAUAGUUAAUCUCUCCUUAACUAGUCGAUAACCAAGGUACGACCGUUGGUUAUUUCCCUAAUCAAUAGACAACCCUAGAUACGAUCAUAGGAUUUAAUCAAUUGACAGCCUGAAAAACCAGAUAGACCCAAAUCCUAAUAAACAAACACAUACGAUAGUUUAUUUAAAUUAGAUUGUUUAUUCUCACAACACAACUCUCUGCUAUGUUAUUUGUCACAAAUAUUAAAAUCUUCAUACGAUGAAUCCUUUAAUUGACAAUAGAUUAAGUUGUUAAUUAAAUAGUGGCCAAUUACCUAAUUAACAAACAUAAUCAUGAAAAUAAUUCAGAGAAUAAACAAAUACCCAAAAAGUAAUAAAACAAUUAAAGCAUAAGAAAGAUCUUACAAUAGUGAUGAAUCAAAGCUUCAUUAACCUUCAACCAGAAUAAUAGGUUUAGUUCUUCAUAGAGAGAAGAGAAAAAUUUAGAUCUAGGGUUUCUUUCUUUUUCUCCAAUCCCUCUUUUUCACAAUAAAUUCCUCCCUUAAAUACUCUCUCUUUAUUCUCCUCUAGAAUUCUAUUUAAAAUAAAAUACUAAUAUCUGAAAUAUUAAAUUCGUAAUUACAAAAAUACAAAACACGUUAAACUAAAAACUGCAUGUCCGUAGUUGACAGCACGCGCCCACGUCUUAUCAACAAAGUUCUUCUGACGCUCAUAAUUUCUCCAAGAGAACAAUCAUCCUUAAACAUCAUCUUAUAACUCAAUUUUAGCACCAAUCAAUAGAAUUGCACCUAUAAAAAUAAAACACAAGUAAAUCACUAUUAUUAAGUGCAAAAUAUCGAUAUUAAGGGAAGUAAACAAUGCAAAACUAAUGCAUAAAUUGCACUCUAACAAAUUCCCCAACACCAAGACGAUGCUUGUCCUCAAGCAUAUAACUCAAGACUAAUCUCAAAUCUCCACUAAAUUCUCAUCUCAACUCAUCCAAAAACAAUUUUAAGCAAGCAUACCUCAAGAAAUUAAGUCGAUCAACAUUUGAGAGACAAGGAUUUUAAAGCAUAGAAUCUCAUAAGAUAGAAUAAGAACAUUCAACCACCAAGAAGAUCCAUUCAAAAUUCAAGUGCAACAAGAUUUCAUAGCCCUCUCAUUGACUUCACUCCAUGCACUCAAAGUGUUUAUGGUGUCAUUUAUGCACUCAAAUCAAAUCAAAGAAUACUAUUACCAUAAGCUUGCUUAUAUAUCACAUCCCAAUCCACAAAACAUGAAUUAAAUGCAAAAAUCUAAGGGUCUUAAAAAGGUUGUAACGGGGUUAAAUGGGUUAAAUGAAAAAGAAAGGUCUAUGAAAGAAAAAGAGAUCAAAAUGAAAAGAAUGAACUCAUUGAAUGAACUUUAUGAUAUCGAAACGCUUAUUUCUACUCAAGUCACCAAGAAUGUAUUUUUUUCUUUUUUUUUCGACUUUUUUUCUUUUCUUUUUCCUUUUUUUUUUAAUCAAACAAAAGAAACGAACCUUGCACAAUUUAAUUCAAGCAUAAUGCUUGUUGAUCUAAUUGAGAAAUUUUAAUACAAGGUAGAAAAAGCAACAAAAUAUAUACAAAAUAUAUCCACACAAUGAGUCCAAAAAUCUCCUUAAAUUGAGGCUCAAAAAGAAGAAAAAUUAUUAAGUAGACGGAGAGAAUUAGAUGGGUAAUGGUUAAGGCUCAAACAAAGAUAGCAAAUAAAGGUCUUCGGGUAGAGAAAAAAAAAAUGCGAGAAUAGAAAAAUGGAAAAUGGUUUGCCCUUAUCAUUUUAAUGCAUAAAAUCCCGUAAUGCGGCUUCAACAUGCAUAAGAAAGCAAGUUCUAGAAUAAACAAACUAAGAUUGAUAUUCACAUAACAAAAAUAUUAGAGCAAAGUGGUUGCUCGUAGGCUCAAAUCCUCACAAAGUUGGUAAAUUUGCCAUCAAAUCAUGUACACUCUUCAAAUGAAUCAACCAUCAAUAGUGGUUUGGAAUGAGAAGAAGGUAUGAGUAAUAUAUAAAAGGAAAGGUAAAAAGGAUAAUAAGCGAGAAAGAUGUAUGUAGUAAAAAAAAUGAAAGAUAAAAUGUGAGUGAUGAAAGAGUAUGAUAGAAAAAAUAGAUGUAAAUAAUUUGAGAUAGAUGAGAAAAGAGUAGUGAGAAAGAAAAGAAAAGAAAAAUAAUAAUAUAUGAAGCAUACUAACUCCAAAAUCAUUUAAGGAUGAGUAGAGUGAAAAUAAUACUUCCAGACAUCAAUCAUGCAAAAAUUCCUCCCCCACACCCAGACCUUACAUUGUCCUCAAUGUAAGAUAAUCAAAGCUCACAUAAAAAUUAAAGCAUAAGGAUAAAAGAUUAAAGGUAAAAACUUCCCUGAAUUGUGAGCUUUGAUCCACAUAACGUCUAUGGGCUUGGCGGAAAUGGUGGGAUAAAUCCCACACUCUCGAAGUAUGCGGCCAAAUUCUGCUCAAUCAUGUUAAGCUUGUGGUCUAUUUUCUCUAAAUGAAUGCUCAAAGGUGGUGCGGAUGUAGAAUGAAUAGUUGGCGGGGCAGUAGUGUCGUCGUCAAGCUCGUCAUCAGAGGUAGCACCACUCCUAGCAUAAAGCUUUUUUGGAGGUUGAGUUGGUCAUGGUUCAGUAAACUGAAAUCUCCCCUCCUUGAAUUCGACCACACCUGUUCUUUCAAACACAAACAUAUCCAAAAAUUCCUUUUUGCAAGUAGGAUGCAAAUCAUUAUUGUCAGGAUCAAGCACACAUAGGUUUAUAGCUAACAGAGUAAUGUAUGGACCAAGAAAUAAAGUCCUAUACUGUUUAAGCACACUUUGAAAUUGAUCUGCUAACCAAAAACCUAAAUUAGGCCUCACAUCAUUUAACAUGCACCAGAUAAAAUAAAAUUCAGUUUUAGAGAAAACUCCUGAGUGAUCUUUCUUUCCUAAAAAAUUAUAUGCUAAGAAUCGAUGCACACAUUUCAAAACAGGAUCACGUAAGAAAUAACUCUUUGAUUUACUCGGGUCAUAGGCAUUGUGAUCAAAAGAUAGAUUACGCCAAAGACCAUAAGGCUCAAAAUUUUCGCUAAAGUCACAAGUUGUUCCUAAAUAUUCAUCACUAGUAGAAUAAUCAUCAUCAAUGAAUCCUAAAGCUAGGUUAAAAUCCGUGAUAGAGUGUGAAAAAUUUCAUCCCANNNNNNNNNNNNNNNNNNNNNNNNNNNNNNNNNNNNNNNNNNNNNNNNNNNNNNNNNNNNNNNNNNNNNNNNNNNNNNNNNNNNNNNNNNNNNNNNNNNNNNNNNNNNNNNNNNNNNNNNNNNNNNNNNNNNNNNNNNNNNNNNNNNNNNNNNNNNNNNNNNNNNNNNNNNNNNNNNNNNNNNNNNNNNNNNNNNNNNNNNNNNNNNNNNNNNNNNNNNNNNNNNNNNNNNNNNNNNNNNNNNNNNNNNNNNNNNNNNNNNNNNNNNNNNNNNNNNNNNNNNNNNNNNNNNNNNNNNNNNNNNNNNNNNNNNNNNNNNNNNNNNNNNNNNNNNNNNNNNNNNNNNNNNNNNNNNNNNNNNNNNNNNNNNNNNNNNNNNNNNNNNNNNNNNNNNNNNNNNNNNNNNNNNNNNNNNNNNNNNNNNNNNNNNNNNNNNNNNNNNNNNNNNNNNNNNNNNNNNNNNNNNNNNNNNNNNNNNNNNNNNNNNNNNNNNNNNNNNNNNNNNGCAGUGGGUAGUUCGCGCUGGUGGGGCUUGCGUUGCGCGUUGCUGGGGCUGCGUGGCGGGUGGGACUGAUGCAUUGGGGCUGGUUCUGCGUGGCUGCGGCUGCUGCUGCUGCGUGGGCUGGUCGGUGAAGCUGGAGAAGAAAACCAAUUUUGUGCAUUAGGGAUUUUGUUAAUAGUAUUUUUCAUUUUUUUUUUUUUUAGUGAUGAAUCACUUUGAGACACUAAAAAUUUCAAAAGUACUUUUCUAAUAAGCACGUGGAUACGCCUUAAAACUAUUUUACUUUAAAAAUUACAGAAGUACUUAUUAGUUAAGACGUGGGCACGCCUUAUCAAAAAUUUUCUUCUGACCAAAAUAAGCAAACAUAUAAUUAUUUUUUUUAAAAAAAUUUGAAUCAAAACUAAAAGAAGACAUAACAAAAACCAAAAUAAAUAAAUCAUUUGGGUUGCCUCCCAAAAAGCGCCUUUGUUUUAUGUCUUUGGCUUGACACAUUUAUACAUCAAUCUCUAUAAUUGGGACUCUCGAGAGCCACAUUCUCCACAAUAUCCAUCGAAAAACCUUCAUAAAAAGGUUUUAAGCGAUAACCAUUAACCUUAAAAACUUUGCCAGAGGUCGGACUCCGAAUCUCAACUGCACCAUGAGGAAAAACAUUAGUAACAAUAAAAGGUCCAACCCAGCAAGAACGUAAUUUACCCGGAAAAAGUUUAAGCUUAGAAUGAAAAAGAAGAACUUUUUGACCAAAAUUCAUGCACUAUAUGGUUAAUAACAUCCACAAAAAAUACCGAAUGUUCCUCAUUAGGAUAUUUCAUGGCAUCAUUCAUAUUGAAUUCUAUAACCUCUCCAUCAAACUCCAUAGUGAGAGUCCCUUUAUGUACAUCCAUUUUAGUCCUAGCAGUUUUAAGAAAAGGUCUUCCUAGCAAAAUUGGGACAGAAUUAGAGGAGUUAUCAUCUUCCAUAUCAAGUACAUAAAAAUCAGCAGGAAAAACCAACUCAUUAACUUGUACGAAGACAUCUUCUAAUACCCCAUCAGGAUAUGCAUUAGACCUAUCAACUAGUUGAAUUAUCACGCCAGUUUCUUUUAAUGGACCAACAUUCAAAGAUGAAUAAAUGGAACGAGGCAUGACAUUAAUAGAAGCUCCUAGAUCUAACAUAGCCUUUUCAACUCUAACACUACCAAUUUUACAAGGGAUAGUAAACAUACCUGGAUCCUUGCACUUAGGAGGUAGUUUCUUUUGGAGAACUGCUGAAACAUUCUCCCCCAUGUGAACUUUUUCAUCUCCUCUUAAUUUUCUCUUGGAGGUGCACGGUUCCUUAAGGACUUUAGCAUAUCGAUGUAUUUGUUUUAUAGCAUCUAAUAAAUGAAUAUUUACCUCAACCUUACGAAAUGUCUUAAGGAUGUUUUUCUCUUGUUUCUCCUUCUUGGAUUUUGUAAACCGUCUUGGAAAAUGAGGAGGUAUCACAAUAGGUAGGGGUUUCGCUCUGGUGGGUUGCACAUCUUGAGAUUUAGGCAUCAAUUCAUUCUUCUCAAGCUCAUCUUCUACAUGCUUUGUCACUUUCUUACUAGGCUCUUGUAACUCAUUCCCACUUCUAAGGAUGACAGCACUAACGUUUUGUUUUGGAUUCACCUCAGAUUGUGAAGACAAUCUCCCUAAUACUUGAGACUCCAAACGGCUCACUGUAGUCGCCAAUUGACUCAUUUGGUUCUCCAAAUUCUGAAUGCUUGCUGUAGUUGCAUGCUGAAAUUGUUGAGUGUUAGUCGCAAGUGAUUUAACAAUUUCUUCAAGAGAUAUACCUGACUCGGAGUUUGACUGUGGAGGUGCUGGUUGUCUUGGUGGAUACUGUUGUGGGAAUCCUGACGGCCUAACUCCAUAGCUGAAGUUGGGAUGAUCAUUCCAUCCCGGAUUGUAUGUUUGUGCAUAAGGAUCAUACCUCCUCUGAGGCAUGCCUGGAAAUCCUCCAACUGCAUUGGCUUGUUCAACGAGUUCUUCUUGAAGUGUAGGACACAUAUCAGUUGAAUGACCUAUAUUGUAACAAAUACCACAAGUCUUCACCUGUUGCACAUUACCUACAACAAACUUUUCCACAAGAGAAGUAAGUUUAUCUAAACAUUGUUCAACAGAAGAAAUAUUUACCUCAUUCACCUUCCUUGAAGUGGGAUCUUGCAUGUUGCCAAAUUAUUGUGCAUUAGCAGCCAUAUUUGAUAUCAACUCCCUUGCUUGAGUAGGGGUCUUAUUCACCAACACACCUCCACUAGCAGCAUCUAUCAUACCCCUAUCCAUUAAUGACAGUCCUUCGUAAAAAUAUUGAAUAAGAAGUUGAUCAGAAAUCUGAUGUUGAGGACAGCUGGCACACAAUUAUUUGAAUCGCUCCCAAUACUCAUACAAAAUCUCCCCAGAAAGUUGUCUGAUCCCACAAAUAUAUUUUCUGAUGUUGGCAGCUCUUGAAGCAGGAAAGUAUUUCUCAAGGAACUGCUUCUUCAAACCAUUCCACGUUGUAAUCGAUCCAGGAGGCAAGUAGUACAACCAGUCUUUGGCUAGUCCAUCUAAAGAGAACGGAAAAGCACGCAGCUUAAUCUGCUCUUCAGUCACGCCUUGAAAGCAAAGGCGACGAGGAUCGUUGCUUAGCUCGCUUCAUCUGCUGUCUCAGCUGGCGAGCUGUCUUCUCAAUUUCAGGAUCAAACGAAAGUGUACUUGUACGAGAAGAACGAACCAUACACCAAGUAAAACGUAAAAAGGAUUAAAUAAAUGACACCAAUCCCCGGCAACGGCGCCAAAAUUUGAUGGUUGUCGAAGCCAGCAAAAAUAAAUACCUACUCUAAAUAAAUUGUGUAUAGUGAUUGAGCAAUGUCGUGUCCACAGAGAUCGGUAAUUAUUUAAAUCCUUUUAAAUGAUAAAACGUAAAAUAGGGGAAUUGUUGACAAUAAUAAAAAUCAAAUUAAAAUAACAAGAAUGCAAAUUAAAGUUGUAAUUCAAAUUGGAGAAAGCUCUAGUUGAAGGAAUUAACUCAGGUUGAUUCGACUACUCAUCAUUGAUUCAAAUAUAAAUUAUUACUACUUAUGAAUAGACCGGUUAUAGCUACUGAGACCCUCUAAUAGCCAAUCUCUCCUUAACUAGUCGAUAAUCAAGGUACGACCAUUGGUUAUUUCCCUAAUCAAUAGACAACCCUAGAUACGAUAAUAGGAUUUAAUCAAUUGACAGCCUGAAAAACCAGAGAGACCCAAAUUCUAAUCAACAAACACAUACGAUGGUUCAUUUAAAUUAGAUUGUUUAUUCUCACAACACAACUCUCUGCUAUGUUAUUUGUCACAAACAUUAAAAUCUUCAUACGAUGAAUCCUUUAAUUGACAAUAGAUUAAGUUGAUAAUUAAAUAGUGGCCAAUUACCUAAUUAACAAACAUAAUCAUGAAAAUAAUUCAGAAAAUAAACAAAUACCCAAAAAGUAAUAAAACAAUUAAAGAAUAAGAAAGAUCUCACAGUAAUGAUGAAUCAAAGCUUCAUUAACCUUCAACCAGAAUAAUAGAUUUAGUUCUUCAUAGAGAGAAGAGAAAAAAUUAGAUCUAGGGUUUCUUUCUUUUUCUCCAAUCCCUCUUUUUCACAAUAGAUUCCUCUCUUAAAUAUUCUCUCUCUCUUCUCCUCUAGAAUUCUAUUUAAAAUAAAAUACUAAUAUCUGAAAUAUUAAAUUCGUAAUACCAAAAAUACAAAACACGUUAAACUAAAAACUGCAGGUCCGUAGUUGACAGCACGCGCCCACACCUUAUCAACAAAGUUCUUCUGACGCUCAUAAUUUCUCCAAGAAAACAAUCAUCCUUAAACAUCAUCUUAUAGCUUAAUUUUAGCAUCAAUCAAUAUAAUUGCACCUAUAAAAAUAAAACACAAGUAAAUCACUAUUAUUAAGUGCAAAACAUCGAUAUUAAGGGAAGUAAACAAUGCAAAACUAGUGCAUAAAUUGCACUCUAACAAGUUCCUUAUGAUAAGCAAGCUGAAGAGAGCUGAAGAAGGAGGCAAGAUCUCGAGGAAAUUCAGCGAUGGAUGAAGCGAGGGUUCUAACUCUCACUCUUUUAAAAAAAAUUAUGCAUAUUCUUUCAUGUGCUGUAGAUAGGCCCUUCAACCUCGGAAACCUCACCAUGGACUGGGAGCGAAGGAAGUGGGAUCUGAUGGUUGGCAUUGUAGGUGGCAAGCUGCAAAAGAAAGAUGACGUUUUCAAAGUUGAAGGGCCUUUCUAGAGCACUGGAAUCCAUUCAUACUUCAGCUUGAAAUCCCAAAACACAAGGCUUUUUGUGCAUAUUUGUUUAGAUUUUGCAGUAAGAUUGGCUUUUAUUUUUCCCUUUUAGACUUGAAUCAGUAUAACAUUUCAAUGUUACAGCACACUUUGGUGCAGCAUAUGUAGAUCUGUAUUGGUUGCAACUGAGGUUUUCUGCAAAGACUGUUAUGAAUUUUUUUUUUAAAUCAUUUAUUAGGAAAUUUUCCCAACAGCAACACCAGAAAAGGUGAAAACAGGUAUGCUUGAGGUUGUUAUAGCUGCGCUUGGCCUACCGAAAGGUUCAUUUAGUCCAAUUAUGCUAAGACUCCACUUUUAUGGACAUUAUCUUGUAAUUUCAUUUUUAUCACGUCCCAUUUGGAUCUCCGUGACCUACUUGGCCUGUAGCUAUUUGCUGUUGGUGUUGCUUUUGAAUUAGUGGCUGAUUUGGACACGCUUAACAAGUUAUUGUGUGGACUCUAGUUAUAUUUUUUUGUUAUGCUUGUCUGAGAAAAGAGAUGGAACAUGUCGUUCCAAUUUAUUGAAUAUUUAAAAUAACUUGAGAAUUUCAUAACUAAGAAAAUUCAAGGUUCCUUUUUGAAUUUUUUUUUUUUUGGGNNNNNNNNNNNNNNNNNNNNNNNNNNNNNNNNNNNNNNNNNNNNNNNNNNNNNNNNNNNNNNNNNNNNNNNNNNNNNNNNNNNNNNNNNNNNNNNNNNNNNNNNNNNNNNNNNNNNNNNNNNNNNNNNNNNNNNNNNNNNNNNNNNNNNNNNNNNNNNNNNNNNNNNNNNNNNNNNNNNNNNNNNNNNNNNNNNNNNNNNNNNNNNNNNNNNNNNNNNNNNGGGAAAUGGGGGCAAGGGGAUGUGUGGGGAUGCAGCUCUUCCGUCUAACACUCCAAAGUAUUUCUUGUAUCUUGGAUCCUCGCGGAAGGACUGGUAUUUGUGGCGAUUGGCUGUUGGGUUCAAGUUUUGAAUCAGCUGCCUUAAGUGGCCGGCUCAUGCCAAUCAUGUAAGCAAGAAUACGAUUUUCAUUUGCUUAUUUGGUUUCUUUUUUGUGCAUAGAAAUAUAUAUUUCAUGAUUGAUAAUUAACAUCAAAAUCAAAUAAUAAAAUCUGUAACAACCUGUUUACCCCUGUAUAUGGACAUCUAAAUAUAAAUUAGUAUAUUGGCUUCAGUUCUGUUUGAAAUAUCAGACAAUUUUCAAUCGUAAGCUUGAAGCAUGAUUAUUCAUAUAUAAAUACUGUAAUUGGUCUAUCUUGAUUGUAGAUUAUUUAGGAAGUCGUGGAGUUCAUUUUGAGGAGUUUGCUGUUGGUUUACAAACAAGUUUUCUGCCACUCGAAGGACAUGAUAUUGGGCAAUUUCUAGGUUUAGAGUCUAUGGAAAAAGACGAAGCUCAAGCAUAUCAACCUAUCAUUUGAAUCAUUAAGCAGGCCAUGAAAAUUUCUACAGUUGUUAAGGUAUGCUUCUAUCUACACACUGUUUAUGGAUUUAUGAUUUUUACUUUGGUUGCCCCAUAUAUUAAUUCUCUUGCUUUUAUAGCUUGGAGUAUUAGAUUGCAGUGAUUGAUGAGAGUGAAUGCUUGUUUAAUGAUAAUUGAAACAAUUUGCUAUCAACAGUGUAGCAUGUGUUAAUCGUUGAAUAUUGUUUUUGUGACAACGUUUUUGUGUAUCAUUAAUUGCAUGUAGCCAUUGUGAUGCUUAGUUUAUAUGAAAAUUAGGCUAGCCCAAUCUUUUUUGGAUUUUUUGUUAUGAUUAUCUCCACGUUUGUGAUUGAGGUGUUGUGACUUUUAAUUUAUUGAGGAAUGGAAUUAAAACAUUAACUGCUUAAUAAAAAUGGGUGUUUAUCAAAUAUCUUAGCUAAAAUGCUGUCAAAAUUAUACUGCCACCAAAAUAGGACUCAACUCGAGUUAUUCAAACUCUUGAAACUUGAAUUUUGUGUAUCUGAACUGGGUGCUCAGUUAGUCAAUCGCAUCCAUGUAAUGAUUUGCAUUUAUUUAUUUAUUUAUGUUACUAUGCUUUGCUGUACCUGGGGAAUCAUGGCUUGGGAGGAAGAAUCGGAACCAGAAUGAUAUGUCCUUAACCUCUGAUAUUUGGUCAUGCUGCGAAUGAUUCUCAGUUUCGUCCGUUGGUUGACUGGAAGGUGGAAUCAGUGUUGGCAUGCGCAUACGGGAUCAUCAAUAUUGACAGAUCACCAUUCCCGCUUGCGCUAACCGUUUGAUUGACAUACUUUUACCAUGGAGGGUUGAGAUUUCGCCACGCCACCAUGCGCGGAAUACACUCACUGCAUUGGGUGAUACACCCAACCAUUCUUGUCUUAUUAGGAAGCAAUCUUGUUCGUUCAUUGUAUUGAUCUGAUGUUCCACAUUUAGCCACGUUUCCCCUUUCACUCAGCGAACGUUGUUGACCACAUCUGAACCGUUGGAUCGUGCAUCAAGUUUUCUUCAACGCAUGCUCACCGUGAUUAUUACGGUCACAGGAUUUGAAAAUGGAAGUUUUGUCUUCGGAUUGAAUUGAAAAGGUCGCGUGAUUUGGCUGAAAUAAUAAAAUUUCUUCCCUUUUCCUUUUUUCUUUUUCAAUUUCUGGCUUUUGUAUGUAACUUUUGUAAAUUAAUUAACAAAAUAUGUGCUUUAUUUUCCACUAUCUGUGGUUAAUUUUAUCAAGGUAGGGUGAGGUGAAGCUCUUCAUAUAAAGAUAUGAUUUAGUUAAGUUUUAUUUUUUUUAAUUGGGGAAAAAAGAUGGUAAACUUUAAUAUAUUUAUUUGUAUUAAUAACACUAGAGGUCAUUUAGAAAAUGGUAAAUUUUGAAUUAUUUUCUGUAUAAAUUGAUUAUCUUCAAACUUUUUUUUAUAUUUGAAAAUUUUAAACUGUUUUUAUUUUAUUUUAUUUUAUUAUAAAAAAGGAGUAAAUUAAGAUUUUUAAAAGGUAAACAGAAUUAUAUUUAAAUAGUCCAGGAAUAAUUAGAAAUUAACUCAAAAAUAACAUUAAAAAUGCUCUGCCCUUAUUACCACUAUGUCUAUGCGUGUUUUUGUGUUUGUGUGUGUGUGUGUAUACAGAUCCAUUGUUACUCAUCUUCGACAGCCUAGGGUUGGUCAAGCUAGAUCUAGUCUCUCUGUGUUAUGGGUGCAGGCUGAAAACAGCGGGGACGGAGAAUGAAUUUUCCCUUUUUAACUUGAAUCAAUGUAACAUUUCAAUGUCACCGCAUGCUUUGGUGCAACAUUUGUAGGUACGUAUACGUUGCAAAUCAGGCUUUCCUGCAAGAUUGGUAUGAAUUCUUUUUUAUCAUUUAUUAGGAAAAUUUCCCUACUGCAACAGCAGAAAAGGUGAAAAUAGGUAUGCUUGAACUUGUUGUAGUUAGGGGUGGCAAAGCGAAUAAAUGAAUCGAAUCGUAAGCGAAUUGGGUUAAAAUUUUAUUGAUUGAGAUUCGAUUAGUUUAAUAAAUGAAUCGAAAUCUCAGAAUUCGAAUUCGCUUCGUUUAUUAAACAAAUAUUCGGUUCGAUUCGUUUAAUUCGUUUAAUAAAAUAAACAAAUAUAAUCGAAUUCAGAUUCGUUUACUAUUUGUUUAUCCUUACGAAUUCAUAAUGAAUCGAAUUGAAUCUGGAUUCGUUUACAAUUCAUCUGUAAACUAUAAUAUUAACCUUCAAAUUUUAAAAAAAUUUCAAAUAAAUUUAAGGACAAAAAAGUAAUUUAAUUAAACGAAUGGACCAUAUUCAAUACGUUUAUAACCCAUUUAUUAAACGUAAAUGAAUAAACGAAUCAAUAUCUUUAAACCCGAAUUUGAUUUGUUUAAGUAGCAAAUCGAUUGAACUCAUCCAUUUAUUAAACGGAUCAAUUUUUUCAAAUGUAAAUCUAUUUAAUUUGUAUAAAAUCAAAUCGAAUAAAUGAACCCUAAGUUAGAUUGCCACCGCGAGUCGGAGCUGCGCUUGGCUUUAGAAGUUGGCUUUAGAAGCCCCUUUUUAUACUCGAGAGUCCAAUUAUGCUAAGACUCCACUUUUAUGGGCAUUACCUUGCAAUUUCCUUAUUUUUUAAUCGUGUCCCAUUUGGAUCAUUGUGACCUACAUGGGCUGUACCUAUUUGUGGUUUGUGUUGCCUUUGAUUUCGUGGUUGAUUUGGACAAGCUUAAUAAGUAAGUACUGUAUGGACUCUAGUUUUAUUUUCUUGUUUUGCUCGUUUCUCAGACGAGAUGGAAUAUGUCAUUCCAAUUUAUUGAAUAUUUAAAAUAACUUAGAGAAUUUCAUAAUUAAGAAAAUUCAAGGUUUCUUUUUCAUGAUUUAUGUAUUUUUUUUUCUUUUUUUGGGGGGGAUGUGCAGAGAUGCAGCUCUUCCGUCUAACACUCCAAAGUAUUCCACGUAUCUUGGAUCCUGGCGGAAGGGCUGGUAUAUGUGGCGAUUGGCUGUUGGGUUCAAGUUUAGAGUCAGCUGCCUUAAGUGGCUGGCUUGCCGAUUAUGUAAGCAAGAAUAUGAUUUUCUUUUGCUUAUUUGGUUUUACUUUUGUGCAUAGAAAUAUAUAUUUCAUGAUCGAUAAUUAAUACCAAAUAAUAAAAUCUGUAACACAACAUUUAUCUAUACCCCUAUAUACGGACAUCUAAAUAUAAACUAGUAUAUUGGCUUCAAUUAUGUUUGAAAUAUCAGACAAGUUUCAAUCAUGAGCUUCAAGCAUGAUUAUUCAUAUAUAAAUACUGUAAUUGGUCUCUGUAGAUUGUAGAUUAUUUAGGAAGUCAUGGAGUUUGUUCUGAGGAGUUUGAUGUUGGUUUGCAAACAAUUUUUCUGCCACUCGAAGGACAUGAUAUUGGGCAAUUUCUAGGUUUAGAGUCUAUGGAAAAAGACGAAGCUCAAGCAUAUCAACCUACCAUUUGAAUCAGUAGCCUUUAAAGAUUAUUAUGAGCUUUAUUGCUUGAAGCCCCACUUCUUGCCGCUGUUAGCGAUAAGUUGAAAACAGUAAUGGUUCCUUUUUAUCCACGUUACACAUUACACUCAUUCAAGAAUCUAGAGAUUACUUAACCGUGUUGUAAUUCAAGAGUGGUGUCCAACUUGGCCUAGUGGCAGCUUCUUAAAGCAAGAGUUUGGCCCAGAGGAUUGUUGCUCUCCACCAGAUGCGUUUGGUCUUAAGCUGAAUUCGCUUUUGUUGCCAAGUUCCAAUGAAAAAAUGUAACUAAAAAAAAAAAAAAACCCGAUGAUUGAAUCUUUGUGGAAAAUGAUCUGGAUGCAAUGCUGCUGCGUAGUGUGGUUUAGUUAAUUAUCCACAACAAAAGAGUUAUAAAAAUAUGUUACGUGUCCCAUUACUUAUUGAAUCAUUUUUUGGCAUCCACACUUAUUAUAGAAUAACUCAUUUUUUUUUUAUAAUGGUUAUUCAAACAGUAAAAAUUGCCAAAAUUUUUGAGUAAAAUGGUCGUUGUUAUUGUUUUUUUCCUUUUAAAACGGUGCCUUUGCUAUAUGAGGGGAAUCAUGGGAACCAGAAUGAUUGGUACUGAUUCAAGGUCCCAUAAUGAUCACGGUUUUGAGGUUUAACCCCCCACAAGGCAGAUAAGAACCUAAAAUUAAUUACAUGGUCACGUGAUUGGAAUUGCAUGGGCUGCAUGGGUAGGCUUAGAAUGAAAUGGCAUGGUGGCCGACCGCUGUACCAUGACUGCAAUUCCUGCACAGUAACAAGCAAGCUGAUUUACAUAUAUAUGCCACGUUGACAAUUAGCUUAUUUAGACAAACAUCUUAUCAAGGCACAAACGAACUUGAACGUAAAGCAAUAAUAUCCCAGCAACUAAUUGUCUUAAAAUAAUUAUUGUAAUUCUUCAUAAUACACAAUCACAAUUUUGAAGUUUUGAAAGAAAUUAAGCGACGAAUGCACCGAAAGCUUUCCUCCCUAACCCUAAGUGAUUACUUACGUAACCGUGCAUGUUUGGCCCACCUUCAGUGAAUCUUUUUUGAUUUUGGCUACCUUAUCACGAAACACAAAUGGAAGGGGACUCUGACUUAAGUCUCAAUUGACGAAACAGUAGUGCUAACACAAACAAAUAUUGGGGACUCUGACACAAAUGUGAGGUGAGGAAAUAUUACAACAUUUAGACUAGGAAUGUAAACAAAUGAAUAAAUAAAUAUAUUACUGGAUUUAAGAAAAUGAAGCCGGUGGCGAGUACAAAGGAGCUCUUAUGUGUUGAUUCCCUAAUAUCGUGUGCACUUCCUCAUAUAUAAUAAAUUUUGAAUUUUUUGUUGUUGUUAUCUAUGUCAUAAUUGUUAUAACAUUAAUGUUUUUUCAAAUAAGGAUAAAAUUGAUAGAUUUAUGAUUUUAUUAUAACACACACAGUCAUAUAUACACCUAAAAUAUAUGUAGAACCACUACCACCUUAUAUAUAUAUAAAAAAAAAGUGUAUACAACAGGUUAUCAAGGCAUACCAUUAGCACUAAAUUAUGUAAAUCAAGUUUCUUUUCCUUCAUGCCAUGUCCUUUACGGUCGGCUGAUUCGGUUUUGGUGCUUGUUGCUGAUGAGCAUAUAAUAUAUACAUAUUUUACUCUUAAUUAUAUAAUUGCUAAUUAUUAUUAUUUGUUAUUUUAAUUGAUUAAAUUAUUUUGUUGAAUGAGGAAUUAAUUAGAGAUUAUGGAUUAAAAAAGUAUAAAAAAUUUUAAUUUAGAAAGAAAUAAAAAUUAAAUUAGAAGACAAAAUUACAGUAGAGAAUUAAUGAAAGUCAAGAAGAUCAAAAUUCAAAGUCAACUUCUUUAAUAACGGACGGUGGGCAUGCAUUUAGAAGACAAACAUUUGGUGAUGGCAAUUGCAUUUACAUGACAUAAUAUAUUAUGGAAAGCAAUUUAAAGGGACCUGUGACUUGGCUUUCAAAGGUGGACAUAAACUGAUGGAUUAUGGUAUUGACAAAUAAUGAUGACAUAAAUUAGGAAAAUUGACUUUAGAAUUGGAAAUAGAAUCCCGAUUGAAUUGGGCCAAUUAAUGUAUAUGGAAUCCUUUUCAUAAUUGGUGGCCAUGGUGCUUGCAAAAGAUGCAGCUGCCAUACUCAUUUCAAAAACUUUCCGAUCCAAUGAGUUCUACAGGAGGAUUUAUAAAUUAAGUGAUAUAUUUUUAUAUAUUUUUAAAAUAAAAACUUUAAUUGCGCACCACUUGAGUUCUUAUCCAAAAUUACCUUUCCCGGUAAAGCUAAAGCAUUUUGUGUUUUCUUACACGGCAAAACAUUGUUUGUUACAUAAACAGUUCACGGCAAGAAGAGCAGCCAUUUUUGACUUUUUUGAAGAGAAUAAUAUUGGAAUAAGCUUUCGAAUUUACCGAUUACGAAUUACGAUGGCUUUCUAAGCAAAUGGGGUCUGAGAUGGACCGAUGGUUAAGUUGAGGGGAAAAUUACAGAUAGAUUCCAUCUUCAAAUAUAAGUUAAAAAUAUUUAAAGUUUUAAACUUAAUUUUAAAUAGAUUGUGAUACUUUAUUCUUUUUAAAUUUAAAAACGUUAUAUUUAAUUUCUUAUACUAACAGUUUAAAUUAUUUUACGAUAAAAAAUUCAUAUUAUCUCUGAUCAAUUUAAGUGAUUUUACAAAUAGUAAACAUCCAUCAAAAUGAUUUGUGUGUGUGUGUGUGUGUAUGUGAUAUGAUAAUAUUAUCCUUUAUAAAUUAAGUGAAGGUAAUUCCAUUUGAUUCCAUCACAUCCUGGAUUAUCUGUCAAUUUUAUUUACAUAAAAAAAUAUACAUUCUCCCAUUGACAACAUAUAAAAUAAGCUUCACCAAGUCUUUAAAAACUGUAUUGCCUACGUUGUUUAUGUUUUUCAGUUUUUAAGCCAAGAAAAAUGAAAGAGAAUUAAAGAUUACAUAAUUAGGUAAUUAACUCAAAUUAUUAAAGACAAUAUUGUCAUAACACCUGCACAAAAUUUCAUUUUCAUGGAUGCCUACAGAUUGUAAAAUAACUUAAAUUGAUUAAGGUCAAUAAGAACAUUUUCAUUGUAAAAUAACUUAAAUUAUUAGUGUAUGGGGUUUAGUACAACAUUUUUAAAUUUAAAGGGUUAAGUGUCAUAACCUAUUGAAUCUGAGUAUAAAUAUUUCUAACUUAUAUUUGAGGAGGAAUAUGUAAUUCUUCCUUUAGUUAAGUUUCUAAUCAAUUUACAAAAUGACUUUCCAUGUAAGUUAUUAAUUGUUCAGAAUUAAUGAAACCGAAGGUGAGAUAAUAACAAUUUGUUCAUUUACAUUAAAAAAAAAAAAAAGGUAUCCACCUAAUUUAAAUUUACACAUCCUUUAUAUGGCUGUUGUGUAUACAAAAGAAUACAGACACACACACACAGAGAAAAAGAGGGAGGGAGGGAGACAAAAAGAGGAAUAAAAAAAAUAUAUAAGUUACGAAAAAUUAAAAAUAAUAACAAAAUUGUUUUAAGGACUAACGAUUAAAGAAACAGGGAAACAAAAUUUUUCUUUUCAUUCAAUAAUCAAUACUAUUGAAAAAAAAAACAUUUAGACUAGGAAUGUAAAUAAAUGAAUAAAAAACGCAUAACUGAAUUUAUGAAAUGGAGCUGAUGGAGUACUAAGGAGUUCUUUUAUAUAUAUAUAUGCGCGCACACACACACGCACCAGAAUAUAUAGCAAAAUAAAUGAUAUAUCAACUAUAUCGGCAAUUAAACAGAAACGAGUGAAGAAUGAUGAUACAAGUACGUAAAAGAGAAAUGAUGAAGGAUCAGCAACUCAGGCACAAACUGAUGUACACAAGACUAGACUAGCUCAGCCCAGUAAGCAAAGCCGGAUACUACAACAAAAUUGAGAUAUAUAGCCUCUAAAAUGUGCUACUAAAAGUAGAAGGUACCACUUUUAGGAGUGAUAUGUUAGCCCAUGUUAAUAAGAGUAUAUCUUUUGGUAGCAGUUAUGGAAUGUCAUAAAUUACAUUUUGUAGCAUGAAAUAAAAGCUAUAUAUGUAUUUUCAGUAGCUUUAGGUAGACGUUACUAUUUCAUAACUCGUAGCAUUUAUAAAAUGCUACUAAAUACCUUGCCAUAGCAUAUAUAAAUGCUAUCAAAUUCUAAGUCAUAGCAUAAUAAAAAUGCUACAAUAUUCUCUUAUGAUUUAUAGCAUUUUUUUAUUGCUUAAAAUUACAAAUUUUGGUAGCAUUUAAACAUUGUUAUUAUAUUUGGUAACAAUGUAUCAUCGUUGUCAUCAUAAUUUUAAAGAAAUUGCUAAUUAGCUUAGAUAUUUAUAUCAUUCAUCUUGAUAAUAAUACAAAACUUUCACAAAUACAAGCUUUAUAAUCCAAAUGAACAAAAAGUACCAUAUAUUAUAUCAAAUAUUGCAUCAAGGUCAUAAGUUGAAGAUAAAUAUCAACUCCAAAUAAAAAUUAUGCUUGACUAUGAACAAGGGCAAAACUAUGUUGUAACAUGGGUUUGGUACCCCUUCUUUUUGUCUUUUUCAAAGUCAAUUACAAUGGAGUCCUGUUAAAAGGUAAUUAAAAUUAUUUUCAAUAUAGAAAUAGAAUAAUAAAACAAAAUUAUUACUCUUAUUUUUUAAUUAAUUACAAAAAGAUAUUUUACAUUAAAAAAUAUAGACAAUCACUGGUGACCACUGCUUCUUUGCGUGCAAUAACAUUAUUAAUCGAAAGGGGUCAUGAAGGGUACCAUUAGACUUGAAAUUGGAUGAUCUACACAAUGAUAGCCUCAAAUGCUAGAAAAUGGUGAUAUGUAGAGUUGCACGCCCCUUCCAAAAUAACUGUGAUCAUAACUACACCACAAAAACACAAGUUACAUUGCACUGCCACCUUUUUUCAAUUUAGAGACCGUCAUUUGGUUGUUAAAGGCAAUGAACCUUGAAACCCCAUUUAAUCAUAGGGUCUUGCUACAGAUGUUUGCAUUGGAAGGCGUCUCUAUCGCUGGUACAUCCAUUUAUCCGACAACAUUGCCACCAUUACACAGAUCUGAGAAUUUUGAAUAUGUUGAUAGUAUUCGUAUUUCUAUUCACUCACUUCUAUUUCUUAGUGAUGGUGUCGUCAUUGUUGUCAUUGACGGUGCAAUAAAUUUUAGCAAUGUUAUUUUGAUUUUUCAUCUAAUUUAUAAAACUUAAAUAUUAAUUAUAAUAUUCAGCAAGUUAUGGAAUUGAUUGGGUGUACGAUUUUUAAUGUGAGAUUUUGAAAUAAAGAAACUGAAUUGAGGGAUUUUUACGAAGUGUGGUGUCAUUGGAUGGUUGAGAGAAAUAUUAAAAAUAAAAAGCGUUUGGGGUUUUGUAGUCAAAUAAGAGUUUUAGGUAACAUUUAAAAAGUGCAACAAAUUAAAUGUGAAAUACAAUUAAAAAAUUAAGAAUAUUAUUCAAUGACUAAUUGUAGUUUUUUUUUUAAUAAAAUGCUACAAUAGCAUGAUAUUUGGCAACAUUUAAAAAAAAAUCUACCAAAAUUGAUAUUUGUUGUAGUAUAUAACUAAAAAUUGAAACAUAACCAUAGCAGGCUAGGAGAAGCACAGGGACACAAUGAUGCAAGUGUUGGCAGGUGGGCCACAGGUGUCUGCAAAAGAUGGGGCUACUCAUCAUUACAAAACUUGGCAAAUUGAUGAAUGAUAGGCUUUUGGUUAAGGCCGUUAAGUUUCCUCAUCCGUUAUAAAACGUGGCAAAUUUUUAUUGUUUGUUAAAUAAUAUCUUUGAUUUGCUUUAUGUUAAAUCCUUUGUCGAUUCGACCAUACACGUAGGGUAUGCCUACCUUACGAUUUAACAUCUCUUUAUAUUAUUACGUUAAACGUAAGCUAACGAGACUCACUGCUAUAGACAGAGCUACAUCUUACGUUAAACGUUAUUCAUUUAUUAAUUUAAUUAAACGUUAAAUAUUAUUUAUCAUACAUAAUAAAUAAUUAAAUUAGUAACCCAACAUGUCUUAUCCAUUUACUCUUAAUGAUUAAAUUAUUGACUUUUAGCAUUAAUUUAGUUGGAGGACUUACCACACCGCAUGCAUAGGCUUUAGAUUUUUUAGCCUUGUGCCCAUUGGACAAAGCGCAGAGGAAAAGCAUGCCACUAGAAGCUAAAAUCAUGGAUGGAGACAACGAUAAUCAGAGGAAAAAAGAAGCGUUGAAAAUAAUACUGAAAUGGAGUUAUAUACAACAUGUUAUCAAGGCAUACCAUUAUUACUAAAUUAUGUAAAUCAAGUUUAUAUAUAUAGAGAGAGAGAGAGGUAAUGAUUAUUUUGAAGCUGCUACAAGAUAGAGCACAAAUUACAGUCACGCCCGUAAAAUAAUAAAUAAAAAAUAUAUAUUAUAAUUUUAAUCGUGUAGUUAUAAAGACAUGUUUUAUAUUCUUUUAUACGUGUAUAAUGACAUAUAUACAUACACACAAAUGACAUAUCUUAUAAAUCAUUAUAAAAAGUACAGGACACAACUACAUCUGCAAUCAAACAGUAACGAGGGAAGAAUGAUUGCAGAUGUAGAUUAUAUAUAUAAACGAGGAGCUGGCUUCGUUACAGAAACUGUAUGUAACAGCCAUGCAUUUUUUAUUCGUUGGAUCUAGAAACUGAAGUUGGAUGGUUGGUAUUAAAGGUCAGAAUAGAAAUUAAUCACGGGCGACCGUUUUUAACAUUUAGAAAGGUUCAUUUUCAUGAACACCCAAAUGUUUUGAUAAAUAUCAAUAUGCACCCAUUAGCUUUUUAAGUAAAACCACACACCCAACUCGUUAACUUUUCUCCUAUUGAAUUAAAAAACUAUCAUGCCUUAAUUGAAUUAAAUUGAUCAGGUAAAAUAUCUCUUAUAACUUAUCAAUUUUUACAGUAAUAUACAAAUAUUUAGUAAAAUCAAAUAUAUUUUUAUUUAGUAAUUAGAUUUUUUAUUUAGUAAUCAAAUUUAUUUUCUAUUCAGUAAUUAAAUUUUUUUUAUUUAGUGAAAUCAAAUUUUCAUUUUCAUUUAGUAGUCAGAUUAUUUUAACAAAAAAGUUCUAAAAUCAAAUUUGACUUGUUUACUAUUUUAAAAAAUGAACUUGUUUAUUAACCAACUAGAGUUUAUCUUUAGUCAACAUAUUUUUUUCUCUAAAAUAUCCUUUGAACAUAAAAAGAAGAAUGAAAAUAAAAAGAUGCUUUACCAAGAGUUGAUUAACAAUAAUCAGUAUAUUUGAGCAUGCAAUGAACCUAUAUUCAUAUGACAUAAUAUAUAAUUUUAUUCAUCAAUUACAGUACUAAUUUUCUAAAUUUUUUAAAAAUAAAUGGUUAAAAAAAAUUUAUUUUUAUAAAAAUAAAUUAAAAAAUAAAUUUUUUUUUACAUGGACCUAAUAUUUAAUUAAGGGCAAUAAUGUCUUUGUACUAGUUAGAAAUGGCCAGUAAUUGAACUUAAACGCGUAGGACAACAAUUUGACUAUUUUAGGGUGGGGUUGAUGGCUUACAUCAAACUUAGGGUGUGCUAAUGAUUAAUAAUAAUAAUGGGGUAAAUAUGAAAUUAAUCCUUACCCAAGCAUUAGAACUUCGUUGGUUUUCUUUUAGCCGGAUAAUUUCCGGUCAAUUUGUCACGCCUCCCUACACAUGGCAGCAUCUAAUUUGUUCGCUUGUCAUUUCAGUUUCUGUUACAUACAGUUUCUGUAACGUAGCCAGCUCCUAUAAACGAACUCCUCAGUUUGUUUGAUUUAUAUAAAAGAAUUAAACCUUUUUCGAAUGCCUAAAAGAGAAAUCACGAAAGAUAGCUUUUUUCAGUGUCAAUAUAAAAUAAUUACGCUUUUACAAAUGCCUAAAAGAAAAAUCACGAAAGAUCAGCAUUUUUCAGUGUCUGUUUGUCCCGCUCGCACUGGCGCGCGUGUGUUACAGUAUUCAACAAAUUUCAUAGAAAUAUUAAAGAAAAAUCAUGAAUUAUCAGCUUUUCUCAGGGGCUGUUGUUACACCAUUCCCGCUAGCAGUGGUGUGUAUUUACGCUCUCCAAAUAUUAACCGUCCGAUUAACAUACUUUGACUAUGGAGGGGUAAGAUUUUGCACGCCACUAUUCGCAGAAUGCACCUCACUACACUGGGUCAUACACACCCAACCAUCCUUGUCUUGAUCCGAUGCUCCAAGUUUUGCCACGUUUUUCCUUUACAUGACCACAUCUGAACCGUUGGAUCGUACAUGAACUAUUCCCGGACGCGCAUCAACUAUUCCUGGACGCGCAUUAGCUACUCCUGGACCAACUUUCCACUUCAGACACACACAAUUUCCCUUUCACUCCCAUGAGUGUCGUACGCAAUAUUUACUUGCCCACGACUCCCUCCCAAAAUCCAAGAAACCCUAGCAUUCAGCUCAGGCCUCAAAAUGAGAAAUAACCCAUAUCAGCUGCACUCUGUGUUCUGGGAUGAGGAUGCAAACCUCGUUCGCUUCAAGUACCCUCUUCCAAUAGGGACGAACCAAGAGGAUGUGACGAUUGAGGUUGACGAAGAUGGGAAUUUGCUUACAAUGAAAAGCAAGGUGGUAAGUUCACAUAAUGAUCCUCUCUCUUCAGCUUUUAACUCGAUGGUCAUAUCCGGAUCUUCUCUCUUAAGCUUCCUGAGGAAAAACGAAGGAGACCCCGCCACCCCGAUUAUCUCGAUGAAAUUCAAGUUGCCAGCGGGUCUUAACCUGAAUGGCUUCAAGACUGCAAUGGAUGAUGCCGGCGUUCUAACUGUUACCUUCACUAAACUCAAGCCAGAGAAGAAAAAGCUGGUGUCAGUAGCAAAGAAGAUGCUGGGAUGUUUGGCUCAUGCUGUGCCUGCUGCUUGUUUUCUGAUAUGUGAGAAGAUAUGUGAUGCGAUUUGUUCAGGAGACUAAUAAUAAGCUGGUCUCAAAUAGGUAUUUGCUUCGUGUUCAUGUAUGUUGCUUCUGUCGUUUAUCUGCUAGUGUCUGACAUAAAGUCUGGAGUCUGUGAGUCUAGACCAUGUGUUCUCUAAUUACUGUUGCGGUAUCUAAAUGUGGAGUGAAAAAUAAAUGCUUUUUUUAAAUGUUUGUUUUGCUUUUUUUUUUUUUUUUUUUUUUUUUAUUUUUUUUUUUUUUUUUUUUUUUUUUUUUUUUUAACGUAUGCAAUAAGAUAUCCCUACUAUAGAAUCUGCAAGAUAGCAAGAUCUCUCUUUUUUUCUUUUUCUUUUUUUAAAUUGUUAGCGUUGGAAAUUUUCUUUAAGUGAAAUAGAAGAUCUUGUCUAAUAAAAAUGAUGAUGGUUGUAUCUCCUUUUUUUUUCAGAGAAAUAGAAGAACUUUAUCUAAUAAAAAAUGAUAAUUAUUGAGUGAAAAAUAAAUGCUUUUUUUAAUAGUGUUGAAUGAAAAAGAAAUGUUUGUUUUCCUGUUUCCGGCCGCCUCCCACAUCACCCCUCACCGCCGAUCACUACCCAACCAGCCGGAAGCCCCUUUGCUAACCGUUACCGCCCCAAAACGUAAAUCCAAGUUCACGGCUUCCCCAUUAAAAUCUAGCCGCCAUCUCCUCCACCACUGUUGGUGGUGUUUUACAGCCGCUUGAACCGUCCUCUGUCACCUCACAGCCACUGUCCCACAUGGUUCACCAAACCCCGUCGACCACGCAUCUCCCUUCAACGCGUGUCGGUCCAAAGCGACACAAUAAACCCUAGUUCGUUGCCAUUUUCCCGUGGCGCCACCAGCCUUCCUGCCAUUGCUGAACCUGAUGUGCUGCCUGCGGUUCACUCCACAUCAUCCCAACAGCCGCCGCUUAGCCUCCCACUGCUGCUUUUGGCCCUCUGACUCCGAAAGCCUCCUACAAUCCAAAUCCGACUCUUCACCAAACCCUAGCCCGCUUUCUCUUGGCCCAACACAGACCCUAGCGGCUGCCCUCUUUCUUUGGCCGCUCACUCCUUCACCGGUGAUGGUGGCUGCCCUCCUUUGUUUCCUUCACAGCCUCCGCACAGCCAACAAACAUCCACCUCCCAACUUGGCGGCCAUGAUUCACGCUUCCUGCCUUCAACUAGACUGCAACAGCGGAGAAGGUGAUAACUGGUAUAAGAAUAUGAAUCUCUUUUGCUUAUUUGGUUUUAUUUUGCACAUAAAAGUUUAUAUUUUAUGAUUGAUAAUUUAUAUCAAAUUAAAAAAAAAAAAAAUCUGUGACACAACCUUUAUAUCCCUAUAUAUGGAUAUGUAAAUAUGAAUCUGUGACACAACCUUUAUAUCCCUAUAAAAAAAAAAAAAUCUGUGACACAACCUUUAUAUCCCUAUAUAUGGAUAUGUAAAUAUGAAUUAGGAAAUUUUGUUCUUUUCAGUUUGAAAUAUCAGACAAAUUUCAAUCAUAAGCUUCAAGCUUUAUUAUCCAUAUAUAAUUAAUGUAAUUGGUCUAUGCAGAUUAAUUGCAGAUAUUUACUUAUUUAGGAAGUAAUGGAGUUUAUCCUGAGGAGUUUGCUUUUUGAAUUACUCUUAUUUAUUAAUUCUCUUGCUUUUAUAGCAAGAAUUAUUAGAUUGGAGUCAUUGAUGAGAGUAUAUGCUUAAUGCGCCCUAAGUUCCUGCAUAUUCCGCCACCAAAAAUAGGACUCGGCUAGAGUUAUCCAGGCUUGUGAAACUUGAAUUUUGUGUUUCAAAGUUUAGUGCUGAGUUAGCCAACCACGCCCACGUAAGUAUUAUUCAUUACUACUAUUAUCAUUAUUGCAUGUAAAUUUUGCACCACCGUAUUAUGACUACAAUUCCUGCAAUGUAAUUAGCUUGUUCAUACAUGCCGCAUAAAUAUUGAAAUGGAGUUAGGUGUAAGCAAGCAUCUUAUCAAGGCACAAAUGAACUUAAAUUCAAAUAUGGCAUUAACAUUGUGACAUGGUGUAUGGAUACAAGCUUACCCUUCGUUCUAGAUCUCUUUUGUUAAUUUUUUUUUUCCAUUGUAACGAAAAUGAUAUUUCCGAUUUUUUUACUUGACUACGAACGUAAUUAUAGUUGCUAUGGCCUUGUAGGCACGGUUGGCAGAUUUGGUAGUUUUUAAGCCAACAAAAAAAAAAUCAAAAUUACAUAAAUUAGAUAACUCAAAUUAUUAACGGCAAUAUUGUCAUAACACCUGCAUAAUAUUUCAUUUUCAUGGAUGUCUAAGGUUUGUAAAAUAACUUACAUUGAUGAGGGUCAAUAAGAACUUUUUCUUGUAAAAUAACUUAAAAAACUUAAACUAUGAGUGUAUCGGAUAGGAAAAUUCUAUGAUCCCGUAAUGAUAAUUACGGCAUCAAUACAGUGAUAAACAUAAACAUUGUAAAUUACACACAAAACUUGUAAAUGUAAAGUAAAACCAGUAAAUUCAUACAAGAUUAUUAAUUAUUGAAAAAAUUAACAUCGUUUCUAUAGAGUUUUAGUGAAAACUAUUUUAUUCAUUUACAAAAAAUAUUUUCUUUAAUAAAAAAAACUCAUUAAUUAAACAAAAAUUAUACUGAAAAAAGUGGAAUAUGUUUUAUUGAAUUUGUUUAACCAUUAAUUCUAUAUUUAUUCUAGGACAUUUGUAUACUUUUUUCCUCCCAUUUUCUAUAAUAAUAUCUAUUUAUUACAUAAGUGAAUCAAGCACAAUUAUUUAUCAUGAUAUGGAUCAAGCAAAAACAAACAAAAAAAAUUCUUAUAAUACUAGACAUAUGUACAAUAUAUCAAUGAAAUUAUAUAUAAUUUUGAGCCUUAUACAUACAGGAUUGUUCUUGAGGAAGCGUAGAAAGAUACAAAAUAACCUCAUUUUACAACAACUAUGAAAGAUAUUGAAAUAAUUUUUUUUUUAAAAUCCGAUUUUGAGAAUAAAUUUCAUCCUUAAUAAAAUAUCACAUGUAUUACAUAAAUGCAAAACUAGCAUUAUUCAAUUUAAAUUAAAAAAUAUAAGGUAAUAAACAUUGUAAUGAGUUUUUAUUUUACAAUUGUGAAAUGUUUUUGUAAUAACUCUUAUAUCAAUUUAUUUAUUUUACCUUUUAUUCAUAAGUUUUAGACGUAAUCUAUAAAAUUUAUGUUUUAUUUUGCACUUAAUGUUGAUUUACUUGUUUUAUGUUAUAUUUGUAAAUUUUCGUUUAAUUUAUCAAUAAUACAUUAAAUUACCAGCUUUAUAGUAAUUUACUUGUUUUACCUUCUUUUUACAAGUCUUUUGUUUUAUUUCUAAAAUUUAUAUUUUAUUUCUUAGUUAGUGUUGAUUUACUAGUUUUAUGUUCUAUUUACAAGUUUUUGUUUUGUUUAGCAUUAAUACAUUAAUUUACUAGUUUUAUAUUAAUUUAUUUGUUUUACCUUCCAUUUACAGGUUUUAUGUUCCAUUUUCAAAAUUUAUGUUUUAUUUUGCGCUUAAUGUUGAUUUACUAGUUUUAUGUUAUAUUUAUGACUUUUUGUUUUAUUUACUAGUAGUUCAUCAAUUUAUCAGUUUUGUAGUAAUUUACUUAUUUUACCUUUCCUUUACAAGUCUUUUGUGUCAUUUUCAAAAUUUAUGUUUUAUUUUACAGUAAAUGUUUGAUUUACUAGUUUUAAGUUAUAUUUGCAAGUUUUUGUUUUGUUUUCUAGUAGUACAUCAAUUUACUAGUUUUAUAUUAAUUUACUUAUUUUAUCUUUUAUUUACAAAGUUAUAUUUAAUUUUUAAAAAUUAUGUUUUAUUUUACACUUAAUGUUGAUUUAUGCAUUUUAUGUUAUAUUUGCAAGUUUUUGUUUUAUUUACUAAUAAUACAUGAAUUUAUCGGUUUUGCAUUAAUUUACUCAGUUUAUCUUUCAUUUACAAGUCUUAUGUUUAAUUUCUAAAAUUUAUGAUUUAUUUUACAGUUAAUGUUAAUUUACAAGUUUUAUGUUUUGUUUACAUAAUUUAUAUUCAAUUACGGUAUUGAUACCGUAACUUUAUUCACGGCAUCAUAGAAUGACCCAAAGUAUAAGGAAAAUAUUUUUAAAUUUAAAGGGUUUAUAACCCAUAUUAAUUGGGAUUCAAAUUGAGACUUAGAUGAUGGGAUACCUCAUAUUGCUCAUUUAUACUUACACAUCCUUUAUAUGGCUAUUGCGUAUACAAAAUAAUGCAAAGAGAGAGAGAGAGAGAGAGAGAGAGAGAGAGAGAGAGAGAGAGAGAGAGAGAGAGAGAAGGAAUACAAAUAAUAUCUAAGUUACAAAAAGUCAAAAAUAAUAAUAAAACUAUGGUAAUAUAUCCACGAUGAAGAGCCCAAAAAAAAAAGAUAAGAUAAUUAAAGCAUUAAAAUAUGUUCUUAACAAAGUGGGGAAAAUACUAUGUGAAAGGGAAAAAAAAACAUAUGUAUAUGUUACACGAAAGACAAAAAACUAUAAUUUGGUGUAAUUUAUUUAUUAUUAACUUAUAAAUUCAUUGAAACUCAAAAUCAAGAUUUGAGAUCACCGAAAGACUCUUUAAAUGAGAUUUUAUAUCUCAUUUGAAGAGUCACAUAAUAAAUGAGAUUCUUCAAAUAAGAUUGUCAUUCUCUCUCUUCAAUAUUAAAGAGAAAGAAGCACUAUCUAAUUUGAAGAAUGUUAAUUCAAAGUGUUUUAGAGCCUCUAAUUUAGUAUUAAAUUAGUUUUUAUCUCAUUAUUGUUGAAGAGAGAGAAGUGCUAUAAUUGCCACUAUUUUAGUAGAGUAAAAAGUUUGAUUAAAACAAAAUAAAUUUAUUUUGAUUUAAAAAAAUUUGUUGUAGAUGUCAUAUUUUUUCACUCUUCUAUUUGUCAAAUAGGUAAAUAAAUAAAUAUUUGAAGAGUAAAUUAAAAAUUUAUUUUGGUGAUGCUUUAAGAAGACGACUCUUUAGAUGGAAUUAAUUAGUCCUCGGCUUAAAAAAAAAAAAAAAAGACUAAAGUUUAUGCUUGUCCAAAAAUACAAAAUUGUCGAUCUAGUAACCUUCAAUAUUUUUGGACGGUUUGAAUUGAACAUAAGCUUCCAGAGAUUUCUUCCCAACAAGUGGAUAUGUGUGCUCGCGCAGUCGCACUACUUAAUAUGAGUAUGACCCCCCACCUACCGGCUGCUAGUUUUCUCCAUGCCACAUCAUAUUACACGCAUUGAGUUUGCAAUUUUGAGGUUUAAUUUAGCCGAAAAAAUGGUAGCUUGAUAUGAUUUGCGCCUAAUUCCUUGUCUAAAUUAUUUUAAUUACCUAAUUAAUAGUCGCUUGAUAUGAUUCAAGUGGGAAUAUAGGCACUCUUUCGAUGAUGUGACUAAGAUGACAUAGCCCGGGCAACGUCAUUCGGAUUUGCAUAUGGUUAUGGUGGGGCAAAGCCUUUUUGACAAUCUGCGUCCAGAAAAGAAACUAGAUGCCGAAAGAAAUAAUACAUGUGGUACCCCAUUAAUAAUUAAAAUAAUCCAUGUUCGUUGAAAACGUCAGGUCACACGUCACAACUUUUUGUUUUCAGAUCGGUUGGCAAAAUCCGGAUGUAGGCGCAUUCGGAUCCGUAUUUAUAUUUUUGUACUCGUAUAUGCAUUUGGAUUUGUAAAAUAAGAUGUAAAUCCGGAUAUAGGUAAUAUUCGCAACAGAUGCGAGUGGAUAUUUUGAAUAUCCGGAUUCAUAAAAAUUAAAAUUUAAUAAUUUAAUAUAUAAUUUAAAAAUUCAAUAAUUUACUUAAUAAUAUCAAAUCAAAUCUAAUCAUAAUUCCACAAUUAAUAACUCAAAGUGAAUAACAUACAAUAAUCUUAUAAAUCUACAAAUAAAAGUUAAUUUUUAAUUUAAUUUUCAUUUUAAAAUAAAAUUCAAUAAUUUACCUAAUAAUAUCAAAUAAAAUUCAAUCAUAAUCCAACAAUUAAUAAUUCAACAUGAAUAAUAUAAUAACAUCAUAAAUCCACAAAUAAAAUUUAUUUUUUAUUUUUCAUUUAAUUUUAAUAUAUAUUUUUAAUUUAAUUUUUAAUUUAAAAUAAAAUUUAUCCCGAUCCAAAUCCGUAUGGUUCCCAAAUUUUCAUAUUCGGAUCUGCAUUUUUUAAUAUACGGAUUUGGAUUUUUCCGGAUCUGGAUCUUCCGGAUCCUUACAAAUCUUAGCUGGAUCCAGAUUUAACUGUCAUCCCCAUAUCAUAUUUUGGCUAGGUCAUAUUUUGGCGAUUGCGGUUCGAUGUUCUUGCUUAACUUUUUAAGGAUUUUAUUAGACCUAUCUACAUUAGUUAUUAAUGGCUAAAUUUGUUAUCCUUGUAUUUUUUUUUUAUUUUACGCUUUUCCAAAAAUGCAUCAUAUUGACAUAAGAUCUUAAUUCUAGAACAUCCCGCUUGUUUGCUUUUAGCCUCAUCGUGCAUAAUUGAAACACACUUCACUUCCAUUACUUUUUAUUUUUUUUGGGCUUACUUUUACAAUAUUACUCUUUUAUAAUAAUUUUUUUAUUUGGACAUUAAUAAAAAAAUAAUAAUUAAAUUACCAAUUUAACCCUAGAAAAUAAAAAAAAAUUACAUUAAUUUUUUUGCAAGCACCAUUUGCACAUUUGGUAGUUUGCAUACAAUUUUUGACAAUUAAAAAUUAAUACAAUUUUUUUAUUUUUUAGGGUUAAAUUGGUAAUUUAAUUAUUUUCUUUGUAUUAAUGUCCAAACAAAAAAAUUAUUAUAAAAGGGUAAUAUUGUAAAAGUAAGCCAAAAGAAAUAAAAAGUAACGGUAGGGGUAUCAAUAUUUUAACGGCAUGGAUGUUUUGAGGUAUUUUUAAAAAUAUAGGGAUUAAAUGGAUACUAAUUUUAAAAUACAGGGAUUAAAUGAGCUUUUACCCUAUUUUUUUGGUUGAUUAAAAUGCCUAUAACAAAGAUUAAUUCAGAAAAUUUAAUUGAUUUAUCCUACAAACUGAGACUGUGCAUGGAGUUUGAUUAAGAAGAAGUAGCAUGUGAAUUCUAUAAUAAGCAUACUUAUGAGAUUAAGGAUAAAAAUAUCACAAGCACAUGGAAUUAGGCAUAUUCAGAUCCUAUUCAAGUUCCCGUCGGACCCGUUACAAGAGCUCGAGCAAAGAAAUUCAAAGAAGCGCUUAAUGGAUUGAUUCAAGCAACUUGGGCUCAAUCAAAUUCGUGGAGACCCAUUGAAGGAAUCGCACAUGAUAAAUGCAUGAUUCAGGCUCUUGAAGUUUCCAAAUAGUCACUUCCAUGAAAUAGGGAAUUGGCUUAAACAUUAUGGUGGGAAAAUAUAUUAUUUUCCUUUUUCAGAUACUUUCCCAUUUAUUGAGGAGGCUAUUAGGGAAUCAAAUCAGUUAUUUCUAUUUUAAUCGCUCAAUUUCCAUUUAAUUGAUGUAAGGCAUUUAAGACAAUUAGGAUCCUGAUUUAGUUUAAAUUCUUUCCUAUUUACUUAGAUUAAGAUUCUAAUUUGAUUUAGAUUCUUUCCUAUUAGGGAAGAUUUGGAUUUAGAUUUGAUUUUUGGGUUAUGAUUUAUUUCCAAAAAUUCUUGUAACCAACCCUAUAUAAAGUACUCAUAUUCAAUAAACAGAGAAGAAGUUUUUGAUGCAAUUGGUGAGAGAGUUAAUUCUCUUUAGUUCUUUACGAACUCUUUGAACUUAUCCGAUUUCCGUGGCGUUCAAAUUCUUGACUUAUCAAUCAGACCAUCCAUAACUGAUUGUGGCGUCUUCACAUACCAAGGUUCGUGCUUUCAAUAAGCAUUGGGUCGAGAUUCCAUUCCAUUUCUGGUUUAGAUUCGAUCUUGAGAACUAAAUUGAUUAGGGUCGUGUCAGUUCUUGACGGGGUUCGUAUCACAUACCUUAAGUAUGGGCUUUAGUAUUAGAAAAGAUACCCAUGCUAAUAAUAAGUGUAAUAGUGAAAUUACAUCCAAAGUUUGUGUUUGUUGCAAACAAGGUUAUCGAUAGAAAGCCAAACAGAUCUUCCAAAAGUAAAGUAUAGAGCAAAUACAAGAGCCAUGUAUCAUGCUGGAUUAUUUAUCAAGCAAAAAUGAAGAAGAAUAAUUGGUUCGUUAAUUAUUUUAUUGAGUCUCAUAACCAUUCGCUUCUAAUGCAAGAGUGUGCCCACAUGCUACCUUCUCAAAGACAAAUAAUUGUUUCGCUAGCAAUUGAAGUAGACUUGGCAGAAGAAUCCAGGAUUUCACUUAAAUCUGCAUAUAGUUAAUGGGCAGACAAGUGGGAGGGCGAGAACCUCUUGGAUACACAAAAUUAGAUCAAAAUAACUAUUUUAGAACAAAGAAAUAGAAAGAUUUAGCUUACGGAGAAGCAGGGUAUUUAUUGAAAUAUUUUUCUGAUGAAACUUUAAAAAAUCCAUCAUUUUUAUACUCUAUGCAACUAGACAAUGAGGAACGGGUCACAAAUAUAUUUUGGGCAGAUUCUAAAAGUAUUAUUGAUUAUGGCCAAUUUGGAGGUGUUUUAAGUUUUAAUACAACUUACAAAGUAAAUAAAGAAAAUCGACCAUUUGCAACUUUUGUUAGAUUUAAUCAUCAUCGAGUGACAGUUUUAUUUGGGGCAGCUUUGAUGUAUGACAAGACUAAUAAUUUAUUUAUAUGGUUGUUCAAUUUGAAGGCAAUAUCUGCGAAAUCACCAUAAAUGAUCUUCACAUACUAGGAUGCUGCAAUGACUUAAGCUAUUUCUCAUGUAAUGCCUAAUACUACAUGGCAUAUGAUGCAAAAUGUCUUAAAGCGUGUAAAUAAUGUUUUUAAAGGUCCUAAAGGGAUAAAAAGUGAAUUAUCUACUUUCAUGGAGUCCAUUGAAGAGAAAGUUUAGUUUUCGAGUGCUUGGAAAGCAAUGCUUAAGGAAUAUGAUGUGUAUGAUAAUAAUUUGUUGAAAAUUGUAUUUGAGUUAAAGGGAGAAAUGUGCUUAUGCAUAUAAGGCAAGCAUGGUUAGCUAGAAUCAAUAGUAACCAACUUAGUGAGAGUUUUAAUAUUAUAACAUAAAAGAUUACCUCAAGUGAGACCUCAAUGUAGCAUAAUUUCUUAUGCAUUUCGAGAGGGUAAUUAAUGAUAAAAAGUACAAGAAGUUGGAAGCAGAGUACGAUUUAUGCUAUAGGCUAGUUUUAUUUUUAAAGAUUAACUGAAGAAAAUUAUUAUGAGUAAUGCAUUUGUUGUUGCUGUGUGGUAUUCAAGAUAAGUUUCAGCACUUAUUUCACUUUAUGCUUUUUAUAUUUUAAUUGAUGAGUUAAUUGAUUUAAAGUUUUGUUUGCUUGAGUUCAUAUAUUAUAUAGAUUGACGGAUGCAAAAUUUUAUGUAGUUUUUUAAACUUCAUUAGCCAAGACAUUUAUUUCAGAGUGGAGGACAUUCUUACAUUUGAUGCAUCCAUGAAAUUUCACAUUUUAUUGUUUUCAACGAGCACAACUCAGCUCAAUUGAAAGCUAUCUCAGAAACAGAACAAACUUUAUACAGAAAUUGAACUUCAGACGCUAAUAAACAUCUAAAAUAGUUUUGUUACUAGAUUAUAAUCGAAGACAAUAAAAAAUAUUGCAUUUUCCCUUCAUCAUAAUAAUAAUAAUAUGUAUUACGUAAAAUAAGAAUGACAUGAUAAGCGUGGCAUUUUCCCUUCAUUAUAAGAAGGGAAAUUAUCAGCUAUAUACUCUUAAAUGAUACCAGUAUCAAACGUGCUACAACACUUUUCAAGUGUAUCACUCGUAUACUCUAAGUUGACAAAACAUUUUUGCCGAGUGCCGUCCAUCAAUCCGUUAACUGCCAUUUGCAAGCGCUGACAUCAUAAGGGUAAUCUAGUCUUUUUAAAAAAACGACAUGUCAUCCCAUUUACCUAGUAAAAACGACAUGUCAUAUGAUAUAUUUUGAUACAAAUGACAUGUCAUCACAUUUCUCGGAUAAUUGUUAAUAAUUACUUUAAAAAAAGCUACUUUACAACCGAAUCUACUCCUCCAAAAUUCAACCUAAAUUAUUGAAGAUAUACUCCUCUAAGCUCAAACUUGAAUUUUUUAUGGUAUAAGAUGAAUUUUUUUUAUGGAUAAUUGUUAAUAAUAUGUACCAUUAAUAAUUUAUAUUUUUUUUAAUAAAAAAAUGUAUUGUUAAUAACAAAAUAAAAAAAAUUAUGUAUUAAAAAUUUAUAUUAAUUUUUAAGGUAAAUUUAUUUUUUUACUUAAUUUUGAGUUUAAAGGGUAAAAUAGUCAUUUUGCUAAAAUUCUGUUAAGUUCUUAACGGUAGUAAACGGAAAGAUAGACAUCAGAAUUCUUUUAUCAACUUAGUAUAUACGAGUUAUAUAAAUGAAAAAUAUUAUAGUACGUUUGAUACGAAUGUUAUUUAAGGAUAUAUGGCUGAUAAUUUUCCUUAUAAGAAUGGCAUGUUUUCUAUAAAAUCUUUUCUUUUUCCUUUUUUUUCUGCCCUUCUUCUAUUUUAGCUUCCACGUAUUGGGAAUUAGUUGUUAUUGAUUUGGUGAAAAUGGAAUUUGCACUAUUUGGAUCCUAAGAGGGGGCAAUCAGGAUCCUGAUUCAUUGUUCAGAUUUCUUCAAAAAGAAUAUUUCGGUUAAAGAGUGCAGAGUAGGGCACAAAUGAUUAAAGCAUUUUGCAGAUUUCUUUUUUUUUUUUUUUGGAUCCCACAUCGACUAGGUGGCCAAUUCACUCCGUUUUUUCUUCACUUCCAAAAUUCAUUGGCGUUAAAGGGAUGCGCUCUAUUGCUGACCUUUUAUUGGCCCAGGUAACAAAUCUUUUUUCCUUUUUUUUUCCCCUUUUAUGUUCUUUUGUUGUUGAUUCUAUCACGCUUCUUUGAUUAAAACAUGGGGAAGUUGUCUAAUUAAGUCACAAUGGUAAGAAUCUGCAGUAUUGUUUUGAAGUUUGCUAGUGUUGAAACUUGGCUCCCAAAAUCAUUAUAGUUUUGGGUUUGGACUAGAGAAGGAAGAUAAGAGUAUAUCAAACUAAAACCACAAUUACUUGAUCACAUUAUAUCAGUUUGCUUAGGCUAUAUGGGCUGACUUAAUGAAAUAGUGACGAUAAUGAUCGUAACUGAGGAAAAGAAGAACAAGCAUGAACAUUUUGCACCACUGUAUUAUGAAUAUAAUUCCUUCAAAGUAAAAGGCUCUAUAUGGAGUAUUAAUAUUGAGUUGGAGUUAGUUAUAUACAACGUGUUACUUGGUAUUCCAUUAUUAUUAAAUUAUGCAAAUCUGUUCCUUUGUCCUUCAUGUCAUGGCUAAAUACUUUUUCAUGCUUGUUGCAGACCUCUGUGGUUAGUGUAGUGAAACCUUGCUGGAUCUUGAGCCCAUUAAUGGGAUGUGGCACUUGAGCGAGAAUGGAAAACCUCGUGGGCAGAUUGAUGUAAUUAUUAUUGGUGAUACAGUGCUGCUACCUUUGCUCCCUCUCUCAUCAAAAAAUUGUCUUAAAAUUUUGCACUAAGAAAAUCUGUGUUUUUUAUAUUGCCGUGGCAAAAUGUUAAAUGGGCUUCACUUUUUUUUUUGGGGUGGGGGGUGGGGAUAAAAAAGAAAACAAAAGAAAAUUUUCAAAUUUUACAUUCCAUCAUUACCUCGGACUCAGGAGUGGGGAAAGGUUAAAGUUUUGUACAGUAAUAUAGAGAAACCCUCUGCCAAUCCAAACCUCUGUGAAAGGGAUCCCAUUUCAUGACAAUCUUUGUGGGUUUUGAGUUGGAAUACUCUGGCAGGUUAGAAGUUGUUUCAAUUAAUUAUCUAUAACAUAUGAGUUGUGUUAAAUUGUAUGACUAUAUAGUGAUUCAUUGUAGGAUACUAGGACAUCAAAGAGCUCAAAAUUUCUGACAGAUUUUCUUCCUAAAUUUGGUUAAAAUGUGAUGGAUAGAUUAGAACUAAGUUGCUCAGCAAUUUGUAGCUGUAAACAUCUAGAAGGCUGGAACUAAAUGCCAUUUGAUUAGGUUAGAAUAAUAUGAGCCGAGCUUACAAUCUUUGUCAUUCAUUCAAUUGCUUUUUCAGAUGACCACAAUUCAUCAUGUUGAUAUUAUCCGAUUGGUGCCUUGUAAAUUUCCUUUAUGACUAUGAUAUAGGGCAUUAUUGAAGAGUUGAAAAUAUCCAAAGAAAAUUAGCGAGAAUAGGUUCUGGAUUAAAAAGACAACUUUAUGCAUGUUUCCUUUCUGCUUCAUCAAUUGAUUAUAGACCAUUAAUUACCUAUGCCCUUUUUUGUUUCGGCUUUGCUUUACAGUAAUAGUGCCUAGAUGUAAUGAUAGGAAAAUGUGCGAAUCGGUUGUCUAUUCAUCUGGUGUACCUCUAAUAGCUAGAAAAAUGAAGGUAUAUAUCCUUUGAAAUAUUCAGUUUGUUUAGUGUCUAAACUAUGUUUUGUUCAGUCAACCAUUCCUAAAUUGUUUCGAAGCUUCAUGCUGCAUUUAUCCAGUUUGUAGAGCCUGGAACUAAGUUCUAUAUGGACAGUUCUUGCAGCAUCUGAGGAUCCCCUUCUGCUAGUAGUGCAGCAUCAUUAAAGGCACCUUUGUUAAUGGUGUUGAUUCUGUCUCAUGGACGGCAAAUAACUCAGUGAAGCUUUUUAGUUCCCAGAGUGAUGGUACUCAUUGUUGGACCUUUUUCAGCGCUGCAGCUUAUGGAAAAUGAAACAAGGUUCCACAGAUCUGUUGGUACAUAAAUGUGUGUCUUGUUUAAAAUACUUGUUUUCACAUGAUUAUAUGCUAGCAUUGACACACUUUUUUAUCAAUUGCCUAGACCUGUUGAAUCCAUUCAUACUUCAGCUUGAAAUCCGAGCUAUUGAAACAAGGCUGCAAUGAGUUCAGUUUUGGACUAUCCUUAUAGUUGUCCUAUUUCCUUUAUGGUUAUAAGUGCUGCGUUUGGCAUAUGAAUCUAAUUGAAUGAAAGUGAAUCAGGGGUUGGUCUUAAAAGCGCAUAUUGUUCAAAUACAAAAAGUAAUAUUAUUUGAGACAAUUCAUACGGCUUCCUUUGAGUGAAAAAUAGUCAUAUUACCAUUUAAACUGGCAUGAUAUGUUCUUCCAGUUUAUUUGAAGAAUUAUGAGAAGAACCUCAGGUGUGUUAACUAAAAAAUGCCCAAAAUGGACUGUUCAUAUUCAUGCCACUGAAUCCCAGGUAUGUUAAUUUUAAACUCCAAUUAAAUGCUCUAAUCUUUCUUCACUCAUUUUAGCAUGUAUUCCAUAAUUCAUGCUUUCUUCUUCCCCUUUUAAUUUUUCCUCUUCUUCUCUUUUAGCUUCCGUAGUAUUGGGAAUCAGUUGUUAUUGAUGUUGGAAAAAGGAAUUGUUUUAUUUGGAUCAUAAGAGGGACAAUCCUGAGCUUGAUUAUGUACUUUCCAUUUGACGCCAUUUAUAUUUAUAGGCUUCUUCAAUAAGUUGAUGUCGUUAUCUGUGUGAAUAUUUUUAGCUCUUGUAAUAAUGCUAUUUGAUUUCUGAUAACUAGUAAUUGGGUAUGGAAAGUGAAACAAGGUUUCCCAGGUCAGUUCAUAAAUAAAUAUAUGUUUACAUUCACGCACUUGCUAGUCAAUUGCUUAGAGCACUAGCAUAGUAGAAUAGCUUCACACUUUAGCUUGAAUUCCCAAGCUAUUGAAUGAGUUCAGUUUUAUGUGCAUAUUUAUUUAGAUUUGGUAAUAAUAUUAGCUUGAUUUUCUGCGUUAUACUUUGAAUCAAUAUAAUGUUUCAAUUUUACAGCAGAGAUUUAUGUUGCUAUUUAGCUUCAGAAAUAUCAGACAAGGAAUUUCAAACAUAAGCUCGAAGCUUGAUUAUUCACAUAUAAAUAAUGUGAUCUAUGUCGAUUGCAGAUUAUUUAGGAAGCAGUAUAGGUCAUACUGAGGUGUUAUCGUGCACAAAAUUAUUGUUUCAUCUGACAUAUUGUUCGCUUAAGCAAUAGUAAUGAACUUGAGGUGUUAGUUUUUGAAGUCUUCUGUUUAUAUAUAAGUUGUAUUGAAUCUCUCUCGACAAUCUUUCUUCUAGUUUUGAUCAUUGCAUCAUAAUUUUCACAUCUGUGUUUAUAAUAUAACUCUGUGCAUUACUUCAUCUUUUUCUCACUUUUUGAUUCCUUGCAUCUUGAAUCUGUUUAAUCAAUAUUCUGGACUUCUUUUGUGGAGAGGCUGCCCUUCUGAGAAUCUGUUUUCAGUUAUCACUUACCCCUUCUAAUAGUUUGCAAACCAGAUGUGGUUUUUGCAUGUUCAUAAACUUGCAAUGUAAUUUGUUUAUUAGUUCAGUUAAUACAAAUUUCAAAGAUGAAAAACACAAAACGACUAUUUAUUCCAAGCGUAUAUAUUUAUAUCUUGGACAGCAUUGAACUCUUUUUUUUAAAAAAAAAAAAUUGUUACAAUUGCCACAUUUGUAAUCUAAAAUUUAUUGGGAAUCUAGAUACAGACACUUAGUAGUGCAAUCAAAAAUAAAAAAAAUCUGUCGGACAUUAACUUGAAAAUAUGUUUCUACUACUAUUUGGAGAAGUGUAUAUUGUACGUGGCAUUGAACUUUUCUUUCUAUUUCUUUUUUCAAAAUUAUUACAAUUCACACAUAUUUCAUUCUAAAAUUUGUUGAGAUUCUAGAUACAAAUACUCAAGGAUACAAUUUUAAGCAAAUGAGCAGUUUGCAUAAUAUUUUACUCGUGGAGACUGGAGAUAUCUACCCUUAAUUAUUUAGUGAAAAUAAAUUAGAUAUCAAAUUUUGUCAUAACAAAAUUAAUCCAAAACAAAACAAAAGAUGUCACCUUAAUUGUUGAUAUAUCUGAAUCUUAUUAUCCUCCUUUUGCAACUAUGAAAACAAAAGAAUAUUUCAGCAGUGGCGAGAGAGCAGGGCAGAAUCAAGUAUAAAACAUAGGAUAAGGAACGAGAUUAUAACGAACAAAACUACCACUAAAUGAUGACAACUUUCAUUUCAUUUGCAUCUUCAUCCUCUCUGAUUCUUCAACCCCUUAAACCCCCAAAAUCCUCAAGACUCUCAAAAGCAAAGACACUAACUUCAACCAUUAAAGCAACUUCUUCUCAACCAAAACCCAACAACGCAAAUGCUAAAAAACCCACUUCAAGAAACCGCAGAAGAUCAUCGUAUGGCAGUUCGAGAAGGUCAGCUCUCAAGAAAACAUUCGCCCAAGAGCAAGUCACGUUCACUACACCCGUCUCCAGUGACCCGUGUGUGGGGAUUAUUGGUGGAGGCAUGGCCCGUCUCGCACUCUCGCUUGUGCUUUGAGUUUGGAUAAGAGAGGUGUAAAGUCCACUAUUUUUGACACGGUUUGUCACUUGUCUGGUUUCUUGGCCUUUUUUUUUUCUGUACUUUUGUGUUUUUGAUUGGAGAGCUUGAAGUGGGUGGCCAAUUCAAUUAUCUGUUUAAUAUGGUUAGGUUGUGUUUGUAUUUGAGAGUAUACGCUUGUAUAAUGGUAAUGUAAAAAAUUUGCUGUCAACAGUCUAGCAUGUGUUGUUAUGCAUUGAAUUUUGAUUAUAAGCAUCUUUUGGAAUUGAGGUGCUCUGACCUUUGAUCUGCGUUUGUUGAGGAAUGAAAUUAAAACAUUAGCUGCUAAAUAAAAAUGGGGGUUCAUCAAAAUUUUAGUCAACCACAUUUAUGUAUUCUUAACACUGUGCUUUGCUAUAUCAGGGGAAUCAUGGCUUGGGAGGAAGAAUGGGAACCAGAAUGAUUGGUCCUCAACCACUGAUAUUUGAUCAUGCUGCUCAAUUCUUUACUGUGACUGAUUCUCGGUUCAUGAGUUGGUUGAUGGUUGGUUGGAGAGAGGUCUGGUGUGACCAUGGGAAGGUGCGAUUGGAGAGCUUGAAGUGGGUGGCCAAUUCAAUUAUCUGUUUAAUAUGGUUAGGUUGUGUUUGUAUUUGAGAGUAUACGCUUGUAUAAUGGUAAUGUAAAAAAUUUGCUGUCAACAGUCUAGCAUGUGUUGUUAUGCAUUGAAUUUUGAUUAUAAGCAUCUUUUGGAAUUGAGGUGCUCUGACCUUUGAUCCGCGUUUGUUGAGGAAUGAAAUUAAAACAUUAGCUGCUAAAUAAAAAUGGGGGUUCAUCAAAAUUUUAGUCAACCACAUUUAUGUAUUCUUAACACUGUGCUUUGCUAUAUCAGGGGAAUCAUGGCUUGGGAGGAAGAAUGGGAACCAGAAUGAUUGGUCCUCAACCACUGAUAUUUGAUCAGACAGCAUCUUACAUGGCAUACCUUUAUUUUUAAAUUAUUUAAAUAAGUUCCUUUGUCCUUCAUGCCUUUAAUGCAUUUUGAUUCUUGUUGCAGACCUCUAUGGUUAGCAUAGUGAGACCUUGCUGGAUAAGUAAUCUUGAGCCAUUUAAUGGAAUGUGGCACUUGAGGGAGAAUGUGAAACCACGUGGGCAGUUUGAUGUGGUUGUUAUUGCUCAUAAUGGUGAUUCAGUGCUGCUAUCCUUUCUCGUUUUCUCUCUCUGUGGAUUGUUAUAGUCUUACAUUUGCAUUCCAAAAAUGCAGGUUAUUGUUUUUCGUAGUUGUAUGAACGUGACAAUUGCCUUUGCUAUUGGAAAAAAAAUAAAAUAUUUCUGAUUUUACUCUCUAUCAUUACAGUGGAUUAGGAAUGGAAAAUAAUCUGGUUUAUUACAGGGAAACCCUACCGAAAUCCAAACUCGGUCCCUCUCCCUAACCAUCCUGGAAUACCCUGGGGGGUUAGAAUGCAUAUAGUGUUACAUUAUAUGAUUUUGUAGUUCGCUGAGUUCUUAUGUUUUCUGGGAUACUAGGACUUCAAAAAGCGCUGAAAACUUCAUAGAAUUUCAUACUGAUUUUUCACUGUCAAUUUGGAGAAAAUGAUGGCUAGAUUACAAGUAAGAUUAAGAGCGACUUUUAAAUUUAAUCAACUGGAAGACUGGUAUUGAAUGGCUAUUAGUUAGGUUAGAAUAAGAUGAGCUAGACUUUCAAGCUGUGCCAUGCAUUCACUGGCCGUUGUAGUAUUACGUAGGUUGUUAUGGAAGUAAAAAAGAUCUCUAUAAAUUUAACAACCAGAUUAGGUUUCUAGAUCCAGAAGUCGAGGUUAUGUUUAUUUGCUUACUCUUUCGACUGUUAAUUGCCUAUGUCUUUUUCUGUUUACAUUUUGGCUUAGCUUUGUAAUAAUAGUUCCUUCAUGUAAUGAUAGGAAAAUGUGCAAACUGGUUGCUUGGUUCAUCUGGCUUACCUCAAAUAGCUAGACAAAUGAAGGUAUAUGCUUUGAAAUAUUCAGUUCUUUUAAUAUUAUCUAGCCUAUGUUUUAUUCAGUAUUGGCCAGUUCUAAUUAUUUUGAAGAUUCAUAACUCAUUUUCCUGGUUUGUAGAGGCUGGAACUAAGUUCUAUAUGGGCCCUUCUUGCUGCAUUUGAGGACCCCCUCCCACUGGGCAGUGCAUCAACAUUUGAAGGCGCCUUUGUGAAAGGUGUUGAUUCUGUCUCAUGGAUGGCAAAUAACUCAGCAAAACUUUUGAAUUCUCAGAGUGAUGCUCCUCACUGUUGGACCUUCUUCAGCACCGCAGCUUACGGAAAACAAAACAAGGUUCCACAGGUCAGUUUGUAUAUAAAUGUGGGUCUUCUUAAAAGUACUUGCUUACACAUGAUAAUAUGCUAGCAUUGGCACACUUUUUAACCAAUUGCCUAGACCUCUACUUGAAUCCAUUCAUGCUUCAGCUUGAACUCCAAGCUAUAGAAACAAGGCUGCAAUAAGUUCUGUCUUUUUGUGCAUAUUUAUGUUCCCUUUUAUACUUGAAUCAAUAUGACAUUUCAAGUUUACAGCGAACUUUGGUGCUGUGUGGAUAUAUAUAUGUUGCAAUUUAGGCUUUCUGCAAGAUUUUUAAUGAUUUUUUUAUCAUUUAUUAGGAAAAUAUCCCAACUGCAACAGCAGAGAAGGUGAAAAAAGGUAUGCUCGAGGGUGUUGAAGCUGCACUUGGCCGACCGAAAGGUUCACUUCAGAAGCCCAUUUAUACUCGAGUCCAUUUAUGGUAAGACUCCACUUUUAAGGACAUGACCUUGUAAUUUCAUUUUUUUAUCUUGUCCAAUUUGGAUCCUUGUAACCUACUUGACCUGUAAAUAUUUGCUGUUGGUGUUGGUUUAGAAUGAGUGGUUGAUUUGAACAAGCUUAAAAAGUUAUUGUGUGGACUUGUGUAUAGUCCUAGUUCUAUUUUCCUGUUACGCUCAUUUUUAAAAAAAGAUGGAACAUGUCAUUCCAAUUUAUUAAAUAAAUAAAACAACUUCAGAAUUUCAUGAUUAAGAAAAUAGUUCCUAUGUGAUGAAUUAGGUAUUUAUUUAUUUAUAUAUCUAUUUUAUUUAUUUAUUUUUUUGGGGGGGAAAUGUGUAGGGGUGCAGCUCUUCCAACUAAUACUCCAAGUAUUCCAUGUAUCUUUGAUCCUCAUGGAAGGGCUGGUAUAUGCGGCAAUUGGCUGUUGGGUUCAAGUGUAGAGUCAGCUGCAUUGAGUGGCAUGGCUCUUGCCAAUCAUGUAAGCAAGAAUAUGAUUUUUCUUUUGCUUAUUUGGUUUUAUUUUGUGCAUGUAACUAUAUAUUUCAUGAUUGAUAUAAAUAAAAUAAAAUAAAUCUAAGACAACCAUUCUAUCCCUAUAGGGACAUCUAAAUAUAAAUUUGCAGGUUGGCUUCAAUCAGAUUGAAAUAUCAGACAAGUUUCAACAACAUUAGCUUGAAGCUUGGUUAUUCUUAUAUAAAUAACGUAAUCGGUCUAUGUAGAUUGCAGACUAUUUAGGAAGUGGUGGAGUUCGUCCUGAGGAAUUUGCUGUCGGUUUACACAACGAGUUUCAAUUGCUCGAAGGACAUGAUAUUGGACAAUUCCCGGGUUUGGAGUCCGUGAAAAAAGAGCAAGUUCAAGCAUAUCAGCUUACUUCUUGAAUCCCUAAGCAGGCCACAAAAAUUUCUGGAGUUUUUCAAGGUAUACUUCUAUUGAUACACUCUUUAUGGCUUUCUUUUUUUCACUUGGGUUACUGUCAUGUUAAUUCUCUUGGUUUUUAUGGCUAGGAUUAAGAAGUUUAUUCACAAAAUGCAGUUAUUGGCAUAGUUGCUAAGCAAGCAUCCUGAAAUUCUUUUUGUGAUACCAUCCAUUAUGAAACGUAAAUGAGUACAGAUGCAAAGGAGAGCGGAUUCUUGGAGCAGCUAAAUCCUUACAGAAAACUUGUUUUCAGUAGCAUAGGUGACAGGAAUUGUGAUAUUUCCCUGGCUUUCAUGGAAGAAAAUAAAAAAUUUCUAAUAACUGUAACCUUUUUGAGUUCUCCACAAAUCAGUUUGAAUAUGAAGCCAAAUAUCAGAUGCAGAUUUUAGAGCAACAAAGUUCAAUGCUAUCAGUUGUUUUGGGUUCAAGUGAUCAGAGCUUCAUCCGGCACAAGCUCGCCUAACAGAGUAUGAAAAAUAUUGAAACCUACAGUUAACAAUUCUCAAGUUCCAUAUUUGACCUGUAAUCACAUUCAAGUUAAUACAUGACUACUGAUAUAUGAAAUGACAUUUUUAUUCAGUUCCAGGAAAGUCGCAUGCAGAGGAUUUAAGUUUCAUAUUAAUGGAAUGGUUUUGAGCUUUAUUAUUAGAUUUUAAAAAAAAAAUAAUUAAUGGAGUUAACAUUACUUAUUACAGGACAAGAAAGAGAGAUUAAUUCUCCAUGGGAAAAGCGUUGAAAGAAGCUUCUCAUGCGCGUAAUCAGCCUCUCAGUUGCUUACCAUGGCAUCUUUUCCAUACUUAUGCACAUGUUGAUAGAAUUCUUUCUUGGUUAAAUAAUCUGGGACAAAUCGCUGUUCAUUGGCAACACGAGCAACAAAAUAUCACACAAAUUAAUUCCAACAAAAAUAAUAUUUUUACACGAGAGACUUGUGUGAGAGAAGAGGGUUAAUUAGAUGAUUACUAUUGAGAUCACAAGUAUGAGCGAAAUGAACACAGGCAAUUGAACAAACCGUGACAGAGUCUAUCCAGCUGAAGAAAUCGAAAACUCUUCGGCAUUUGUCUGCAAGCUUUAAAGCCGUCGGAAAACCAUUGUGCUUCUGCUAAAUUAACUUGAUAGCCAGCAACAAAAACAACAAGAAGAGCCCAGCACAGUAGCAGUUUCUAGUUUUUCAUGCUUCCCUUCUUUUCUUUCUUGAGAUUGAAAUGAUUUAAGAUUUAUUUAAAGGGUCUUUGUCUUGGUAUGCAAAUAAUGGUUUGAAAACAGAUUAUAUGCUAUUACAAGUUAAUUUUUCUGAUAACGAGUGUUUGACUAGGAUUCUUGUCGUAGUGUAAUUAUUAAACAUGAUUUUAUAAUUAAUGAUUCUACUAUGGUAGUAAUGAUUAUAUAAUGAUUUUAUAAUUAAUGACUCUACCAGGAUUUGAAAACUACUAUGGUAGUAAAAUUGCUUGAAGCAACAGCUUAAAAUUAUCAGAUGGUGUGAAAACCGGAGAAGAUCUACCAAGAGGGUAAUGAAGUUUUCUAAAGUCCAACUGAAAUGAUUUCAGGAUUCACUUCAACAAUGCAAAAACAUAUUUGAUAUUUCAAAACUGAUGAAAUUCAUUAUCAUUAUCGUUAUCUUGGACGUAUUUGAAAUGCAUUAUCAUUAUCGUUAUUUCAAAACUGAUGAAACAUAUUUGAAAUGCAUUAAUUACUGAUGCUAGCACUUGAAAUAAAAAAAUAAAAAAUCAAAUGAUAGCCGUGUUCAAGAAGCGAAGUAUUUUUAUAUUUCAUACUUGGCCGUACCGCAAACCCAAUUUAUAAGACAUGAAGAAGAAAUCUCCUUUAUAGAGUUAUUUCUAAAAUGGCAGAAUCUACCAUCUUGAAUCAAAGUAUAUCAUUAGAAAAAGAAGGAGAAUUAAGGACAUUUUAUCUCGAGAGCUACCUGAUAGGGUACUCCAUUCUUGACAGAGUACUGGCCCUCGUUGUCAUAUUGCCACAGAAUCUGAAGUUCUUUGAGGAAAUGAAUGCUUUGGUGGAAGAAGACCUUGAGCAAGAAAAAGACCAACAUGAAAGAGAGAUGAAGAAAAUCUCUAAUUUUGCAAAUAUGGUCUGAUUGGCUUGUCAGAUAACUAACCAAACUAAUCACUACUUUCAGUGUCAAUCAAAUUCCAACAAACAAUUCAUUUUCUGUUCGAACUCGAGUGGUGAUCAGCCAAAUAAAGUUGCCUGAAAACUGCUCCGACAAAACUCUGGGGAUAUAGUACAUUGCUUGUUGAAAUUGGUGUAUGUUAAUAGAAAUAUAAAAGCCCUUACCGAAAUUUGACCGAGAUUGAAAGUAGCGAUUAAUUUGGUUAGUUAAAACUUACAAGCCCACAAGACCAAUUUGAUUAGUUAGAGAUCUUCUUCCACCAAGCAUCCACUUCCCCAAAGGAUUUCACCCAGAGGAUUUCAAGAGAUCGAUCUUUAAUUUGCCGUCUCUGAACAUGAAACAUGAUCCAAUAUAUUAUCACCACCUAGCAAUAUCUGAGUAGGCUUCUCUUUAACCUUGCAUGUUAUAAAGAUUGAGUACAUAUAAAUAAAAGGCAAGUGCUAAGUUAUAUGUAAUGUAACUUACACUACUCACAUGAACAGUGAGUGAGCCCCACACCAUCACUAUUAAUGUGAGUAGAUGUAAGUUACAUUAAAUAUAACUUAGAGGGAUCUAGAUAAAAUUGUACUCCGAAAAUUUGCCCUGGCCCUCAAUACAUGUUAAUCCAUGAGUUAGGUAAGAGUUAGUUGGCUUUGUCCUAUUUAGGAUUGCUGCCUUAUAGGUGUAGCUUCUAAGCAACAACCUCGGUUAAUGACUUUGUAUUUGAUGAAAAAUCUUUGUUACUCUCACUAUUUUUUUCAAUUAUUAUUUUUCAAGCUUUAAAAAUCAUAUUUAUCAAUUAUUUUCAACUUUUAUUUCGUUGCAAUUGUAACUCAAUUUUUAAGCCACAGCACUCUAAAUAAAUCCUCAACAAUUAAUGGUCUCUUUAACCUUGAAAUAUUAAUAACCCACCUUCGGUCACCAUGAGCCACCACCGCACCACGAACUGCCAUCGGCAUUUAUAUUUUGCUAUCUUUUGACGUUAAUUUUAUACUAUUAGAAUCUUUAUUACUGGAUCUACCCAACAAUUGCUUGUAUCAUCGACAAUAAAGUUUCUCGUCAUUUUAAGUACAUAGAUACAAAACUUUGAUCGUAAAUCUACGAUGAACAGAAGCUCUAUUUUCGGUAUUACAUUUACUGUUAUGAAACUCCAACGAUAAGGAUUCUCUUGGUAUCAAAAUUGACGUCAAAGGAUGCCAAAAUUAUAUCGAAGAGGGUAGAUUACGGUGGUUGGUGAUGGUCAAUAAUUUUGCCAUUCAAAUUUAUUAUUUGAUAAACUAAUGAUAAACAAAUUAAAUAUGUUUUAGUGUGUUAAAUAAUUUUGUAUUUUAAAAGUCAACAAGACAUUGACGGGGAGGGGGGAAGGGGGCAUGGGUUUUGAUAACACAGCAAAAAAUGCAUUAACGUUGUAAUUAGUGUUAUCCAACGCAUUUCAUUUCAAUUACUAAAAAUUGGUUUGUUUCAAUUAACGUUGUACCCAUGAAGUAGUGUAUGCCAAACAUAUUUUUUAAGUAUUGAAAUUGGGCAAAAGUUAUGUCAUAAAAAUAUUUGAUAAACACUUGUUACUAUAAUUUAAAAAUUAAGUUGAUUUGAUUAAUAAGAUAAAAAAUUUAAAAUAUAUUUUUUGUUUUUAUAAAAUUUUAUUUAAAAAUUAUAUUUAUUAUGUAUUAUUAAUUUUUAUAUCAAUUUAAACAAAAAUGAGAAGAAGCCCCAGCCUUUUAAUAGAAAUGCGAAGGCAGUGUUGCAACUUGGGUCGGUCCUCCCAAGUACAGUACUAUGGUACUGAUCAAAGUCCCAACCUCAUCUCAGUUUUGAGGUUUAAUCCCAUAAGGAAAAUAAGAAUAUAUGAAACUAGAAGCUAAAAUUACAUGGUCACAUGAUUGCAAUUGCAUAGGCUGCAUGGGUGGACUUAAUCAUAACUGAGGAAAAGAAGAAGUAGCAUGAACAUUUAUUUUGGCACCACUUUGUUAUGACUAUAAUUUGUGAAAAACAACAAGCUUAUUUAUAUAUGCUACAUUAGUAUUGAAAUGGAGUUAGGUGCAUACAAACAUCUUAUCAAGGCGUAUGCCAUUAUUAUAAAAUUAUGUAAGGCAAGUUCCUUCAUGUCAUGUCCUUUUACGGGUCUAAUUCUGUUUUAAUGAUUGUUGCAUCUUAAGGUUAAUGGAAUGAGACCUGCUGGACAAGUAAUCUUGAGCCAUUUUUUCUUCCCAAUUUUGUUUGUUUGUUUUGGGGAUUGUAAUGCAAAAGAUUUUAGACUGGGAAUGUAAUUAUAUGUUGCUAUGAGCUUUAGUUUGAUUAUAAUGAAUAAAUAAAUGUAUUACUGAAUUUCAGAAAUGAAGCUAGUGGGAAGAAGAAUUAAGCUUAAUUGAGAUUGAUAUAUAGAGGGGUACUGUGAUGAUCCAAGCAUUGAAGGCACAAAGAUCCCUCUCUGUUGGAUUACAAACGAGCAAGGAUAUCAAAGAAACCCCACCAACAAGGCAAUUUAGAGACAAUCUGUUCUACAUAGAUUCACUUAUUCUCUAACAUAAAUUACUUCUUGUGUGUUUUCUUAAGCAUUCAUUGCUUUUUGGGACUUGAUAGAGUGUUGUGGGAGUUUGACAAUUAUAGUAUCUGUGGAACUUAUAUCGUAGCUUUUGUUAUGUCAUGACAUCGCAGCUUAGUUUUAAUCUCAAUUGUUAAUGUCAUCAUCACGAUUCAUGAUGUCAUGGAAGUUCAUGAAUGUUUAUCUUCAGCUAUGUAAAUGAUGCAAAUCAAUUAUUAAAUGGUCAAUUUUAUUCAUAAAUUAUUAAUUAUAAAAGAAAUGAAAAAAUCUCAAUAGUCGGUAGAAGUAAAGGUAUCAAUUUAAUUAGAUCAUAGAUAAUAAACAAAAAAUAAAUUUUAAGUAAAUCAUAAAUAAAAAAUAAAAAAAUUAAUUAAUUACUAUAAGGUAUAAAUAAAAAAUAAUGACAUAAAUGGAAGUCUCAUAAAUAGAUAUUUAUAUUUUAAUCUUAUCCCACUUAAACUCAUGCAUAAAUUAGGAUUAAUAAUCUCAUAAUUUAGGAUUAAAUUUAAAUUUAGAUUUCCUCUGUCUAAUCGAGAUAAACUUACAAAAUAUAGGAUAAAUAUUUAAUCACAAAAUUAAUCCAAUCUCAUACUUAAAACCUAGUAUCCACUAGGAGCUGUACGUUGCAGAUGGUAAUGGGCACUGCCUGCACUCCGCAUUGGGCUUAUUAUUACUAAAUUCACACUCGCAUAAAAUUUAAAUUAUCAAACCGACACCCACAUCUGCUGCGGGUUUUAAUUUUUUAAGAAAAUCCACCCGUUGUAGGUUUUGACAAUUACUAUCUACAAUGCUACCCAACGGAUUUUUUGCGGGUUCUCAUAUUUAAAAUAACAAAUGUUUAAUAUAUAAAUUUAUAUUAAUAAGCUAAAAUUCCACAAAAAUAUACUCAAUUCUAAAUUUAAUCAAAGUAAAUAGAAAAUUAAAAUUUCAAUAUCAAUUCAACACAAAUUCUUAAAUUUAAGUAUGAAAUAUAUAAAUCCAUAAAAAAAAACCACAAAUGCCACGAAAAAUUCAUGGGUGUGCGGUUGCGGCACAAGGGUGAAAGGAAAAUGGGUAUGCUACUGCUGCUCAUGGGUGGAAGGGAAAUAGUUUGGAAGGCUAGGUUUUGCAGCUGCUGCUCAAAGGUGAAAGGGAAAUAGUUUGGGUUUCCUUUAGGUUAGGCUAUGAGUUGCAACUUGCACACACGACAUGUAACGUAUUUAUACUUUACAUUUAUUUAAUUUAUAAAUUUUUAGAUUUAAUUAUUUUUUCAAUUAAAAUUACAUUAAAAAUAUUUGGGGAAAAAAGUUACAGGUUUAGUAGAUAUCCAGGCGGCAUCCAUCGGAUAUUUAGUUAAUACCAAACCCACCCACAACGUAGUGCAAGUUUCAAUUUUUGAUACCAAACCCGCCCGUAACCCACAAAAUUACUAGUAAUGAGCGGGUUUUGGCAGGCAAGUUUGGACGAAUUUACUGGUUUGUAGGUACCAUUUAGGCUUGGCAAAAUCUGGAUCCAGUCCGGGUUUUGGUGUUGCCCGGGACUGGACCAAAUGAGUGAAACUCAAGACCGGACCCGGGUUAAAACCCGAUUUUUCCAGGUGCGGUCCGGGCUCAAGCCUGGCACCCUCGGGCCGGGGUUUUUUAUCCGGGUUUCUAAGCCCGCAUGUGAUAACUCAAUAUUUUUUUUCUUCAAUUUUUUCUUUCAUUUAUCUAACAAUGCAAAUUUUAGAAAAGAAAAUAGUCGAAUAAACUCAUUCAAUCUCAAGCUUUAAAAAAGAAAAUAAUCAAAUACAAAUAUAUAACAUACUAACAAUGCAAAUUUACACAAAUAAUAAAUAAAAAUUAUUUCAAUCUACUUUCUGAUACCUAAAUUCAUCCAAUUUCUAACCUAAACUCAUUCAAUUUAUAUAAAAAAAUAAAAUUAAAUUCAACAACACAAUAAUCACACAAUAAAUCUAAAUAACAUCCAACAUAUCAUAAAUUCAUAAUUAUAUAUAUAUAUAUAUAUCUUAAUUUUUAAAUAAUAAUUUUAACAAAAUUAAUAAAAUUAUAAUUUUUUUUUAUCAUACAAGUGUAAAAUCAAAUCAACUUAAUUUUUAAGUUAUAACAACUAACAUUUAUCAAACAGCUUAGUAUUAUUGUUUAAAAUGCCUAAGUUACCCAUUUAAUAAUUUAAUAUAUAAGAUACAUAUGUAAUCGAAUGAACAAGGGAAUUGACAUAUAAGCAAAUCAAAGAUAUUGUUUAACAAACAAUAAAAUUGUGCCACGUUUUGUAAGGAUGAGGAAACUUAACGGGCUUAACCGGAGCCUAUCGUUCAUUGAUUGUCAAGUUUUGUAAUGAGUACGGCUGCUCGAUCGCCAUCUUUUGCAAGCACCAGCUGCCACACUGCAGACACUUCCACCAUUGCGAAAUGGUCAUGCUUCAGUCUUUUUGUUUUUGUUAUGAGUGCCGCUAAAUAUCAAGAACAACGAGAGAAGGAUGAGAGAAUUACCUAUUCUCUCUCUCUGUUGUUGAUUUUUUUUUUCUCUCUCUUCUCCCACCACAUGCUUCAUUCUCUCGUCAUUCUUUCGUUUUUCUUGAUACUUAACAUUUUUCUUUUGUUAUACACAUUCGAGCAAGUCUUGCGUACAUCAGUUUGUGCCUGAGUUGCUGCCCUUUCAUUUUUACUUUAUGUAUUAAAGCAUCAUUCAUAAUCCUCCUCCCCACUAAAAAUGUUUUGAUAAAAUUAAUUAAAUAUUUAAAUUAUUUUAUUUAUUUAUUGUAUUAUGAUUACCCAAUAACUUAUUUACAAGAUAUUUAAUUUCCUUAUUAUUUUAACUUAUUUACAACGAUGGCAAUUGAACUCCCACACUCACUUCAACGACUUGACAAUUAAUGGUAGGAUAGUAAGCCUUUGAAUUUACGGAUUAUGUAAUGACUUCAAUGACUUUAGGCUAUGUUUUGGAGAUAUGAUUAAAUGCAGGAUUAGAUUAAUGUUAGAAUUAAAUAUUUAUCUUAUAUUUGGCAAGCUCCACUUUGGAUUAAAUUAUGGGACUAAAUUUGAAUUUAAUCCUAAGAUUAUGGGGAUUAACAAUCCCAAUUGAGAGAUGGGUUUAGUUAGGAUUAACUUUAAAAAUAAUUGUCUAUUUAAUUAAUUAUUAAAUGAAUAUCUAAUAUAAUAUUGGUUACUUUUAAAUUAUUUGCUAAUUUUUUGAUAAAAUAAAAUUAAAUAUUUAAAUAAUUUUUAAUUUGAUUUAACCUAGUCUAGUUUAUAUUUGUUUAUUAUAAUUAUAAUUGCCUAAUAACUAAUUUUCUGGAUAUUUAGUUUUAAUUAAUUAUCUUUUAAAUUAUUAUCAUUAAUUAUUUUAUUAUUAAAUAUUCAUAAAUAAUUCAUAUUUAUAUUUAAAUAUCAACUUAAAUGCUAUUUAAUUUUAUUCAAAUAAAAUUUAAUAUAGUCCAUUCCAAUACUAUACCAAACAUAAGAUAAUAUUAUAUAAGACAAGCUAAUUUAAUUAAAUUUAAUUAAAUCUAAUCCUAAUAAUUGGUUCAAUCUAAUCAUGCUUCCCAAACGUGGCCUUAACGUAAUAGUGCCGAUAUUUAGGGAUGGCAAUGGAUUGGAUUUGAUCCAAGAUCCAUGUGAUCCAAAUCCAAUCGGAUCGGAUUUGGAUCGGUUUAAAAUGGAUUUGGAUCGGAUUUGGAUAUUGAUGUGCGGAUCUAAGACGGAUCUGGAGCAGAUAUGGAUCUAUCUUAAUAUCUAAAUCCAUAUCCAUAUCCACUCAUCUUUUAAUUUUAUUUUAUUUUAAAAGUUUCUUAAUAAUUGUGGAAUGAUAAUGAUAAUAAAUUUUAUUCAUAGCAUAUUAGUAGUAUUUACCAUGAAUUUAAACUCUUAAAACUUAAAGGUUAGUUUUGUAAAUUUAAAGGUCAGCCAAGCCUCAAAGCAUGUACAUGCAAUAUUCAAAAUGCAAUCCAAGUAAUAUAACCUGGUAAUUUAUUUUAUCAUAUUGGCCAAAUAAUUUUUAAGAAAUAUAGUUAUUCAUAUAUUUAGUCAAAUAUGGUCAUAAUAAAAAUAAUAAAGGACUGAAUAUAAAUCAUAUUUAAUUUAUAUGUCAUUAUCUAAUGUUGUAGAAAUGAGGGUAGGUGUAUCGUGGAUACUAGAAUGAUGAAGGAGACAAUAGAAUAUUAGAUUGAUCUUACUCCUUAUGGGGAUUAACAAUCCCAAUUGAGAGAUGGGUUUAGUUAGGAUUAACUUUAAAAAUAAUUGUCUAUUUAAUUAAUUAUUAAAUGAAUAUCUAAUAUAAUAUUGGUUACUUUUAAAUUAUUUGCUAAUUUUUUGAUAAAAUAAAAUUAAAUAUUUAAAUAAUUUUUAAUUUGAUUUAACCUAGUCUAGUUUAUAUUUGUUUAUUAUAAUUAUAAUUGCCUAAUAACUAAUUUUCUGGAUAUUUAGUUUUAAUUAAUUAUCUUUUAAAUUAUUAUCAUUAAUUAUUUUAUUAUUAAAUAUUCAUAAAUAAUUCAUAUUUAUAUUUAAAUAUCAACUUAAAUGCUAUUUAAUUUUAUUCAAAUAAAAUUUAAUAUAGUCCAUUCCAAUACUAUACCAAACAUAAGAUAAUAUUAUAUAAGACAAGCUAAUUUAAUUAAAUUUAAUUAAAUCUAAUCCUAAUAAUUGGUUCAAUCUAAUCAUGCUUCCCAAACGUGGCCUUAACGUAAUAGUGCCGAUAUUUAGGGAUGGCAAUGGAUUGGAUUUGAUCCAAGAUCCAUGUGAUCCAAAUCCAAUCGGAUCGGAUUUGGAUCGGUUUAAAAUGGAUUUGGAUCGGAUUUGGAUAUUGAUGUGCGGAUCUAAGACGGAUCUGGAGCAGAUAUGGAUCUAUCUUAAUAUCUAAAUCCAUAUCCAUAUCCACUCAUCUUUUAAUUUUAUUUUAUUUUAAAAGUUUCUUAAUAAUUGUGGAAUGAUAAUGAUAAUAAAUUUUAUUCAUAGCAUAUUAGUAGUAUUUACCAUGAAUUUAAACUCUUAAAACUUAAAGGUUAGUUUUGUAAAUUUAAAGGUCAGCCAAGCCUCAAAGCAUGUACAUGCAAUAUUCAAAUUGCAAUCCAAGUAAUAUAACUUGGUAAUUUAUUUUAUCAUAUUGGCCAAAUAAUUUUUAAGGAAUAUAGUUAUUCAUAUAUUUAGUCAAAUAUGGUCAUAAUAAAAAUAAUAAAGGACUGAAUAUAAAUCAUAUUUAAUUUAUAUGUCAUUAUCUAAUGUUGUAGGAAUGAGGGUAGGUGUAUCGUGGAUACUAGAAUGAUGAAGGAGACAAUAGAAUAUUAGAUUGAUCUUACUCCUGCAAUUACUUCUGAAUGAUAUUUUAUUAUCUUUCUUAUUUGUUGUUUUGGUGUAGAAGUAUAAGCUACAAUAUUUAUUAUAUUUUUGAGAAAAAUUAUAUAAUUUAUUUGUUAUCAAUACAUUUUAGCACUCAAUUUUCAAUCUAAAAAAUUAUUACUUUUUUAUUACAAAAUUUUAAAAUUCAUGACGGAUCUAGAGCAGAUUUGGAUUUUAAUUUUUUUUUUCGGAUUUGGAGCAGAUAGAGAUAUUUAUUUCUUUUUUGGAUCUGGAUAUGGAGCGAAAAAUAUGGAUUCAUAACGGAUCUGGAGCAGAUGCGGAUCUUGAUUUUUAUUAUGGAUUUGGAUUUGGAGCAGAGUAGAUCUAACCCAUAUCUGCCCCAUUGCCAUCCCUACCGAUAUUGAUCGUGAUAAUGCACUCACUAUAUUGGGUGAUACACACCCAACCAUUCUUGUCUAGUUGGGGACCAUUCUUGAUCUUUUUAUUGCACUGAUCCGAUGUUCCACAUUUAGCCACGUUUCCGCUUUUACACAACCAAAGUUGUUGACCACAUCCGAAUUAGGGGUGUUAAAAAUGACCCGCCCAGUCCAGAUCCAAACCGCACCCUGACGUUGUGAGCCGAGUAUUACCCGGCCAGUUAUGAAGCCGGGCUGGUUUAUGAAUUAUUUGAUAAAUUCGGGACACGACCCAUAACUCGGAUUUAUUAAAAAAAAUUAAAUAUAUAUUAUUUUAAAUAUUUAUAUUUAUUUGACCCAUCUAUUACACAUAUAUAAAGUUUUAAACAUUUAAAGUUUAUUUUCAUGUCAAAAUUUAUUGAAAUAAAUUUAAAACUUAUAAAAUUACAAAAAAUAAAAAAAUUAUACAUAUAUAAUAUUAAAAAAAUAAAUUUGUCGAAUAAAAUUUAAAUUUUGAAUAAAUAAAAAUUACGGAGUUGAAAAUAAGAGGUUUCCGUCACGCUAAUUUAAAUGGAGAGGAUAUUAAGUUCAGGCUAAAUAAUUAUUAAAAAAUUCAUAAUAAAAAAGCAAAAAGAAAAUAAAAAUAAUCCCAAUCUGUUUGAUGAACAAGGAUAGAAAAGGAUGAUUGUUUUAUGAGUAGAUUUGGCUCAUUGGUUGGAACAGUUUGGUUGUUGACUUGUCAAGUGUUGAUUGGAUGCUCAUCUAGUGGUCCCCAUAAUGUUAUUGAAUUAUAGUUAUUAGGGUUGGUAAAAUGCGGGUUUGGGCUCAGGUAUUGCAAUGCCCGGACCUGACCCAGAUGUAAUUUUUAAAUGCUCGGACUGGGUUUUAAUUCGGAUACCUGGAUUUUAAAUUUUUUAAUAUUAUUUAUGUAUAAUUUUUUAUUUUUUUGUAAUUUUUUAAGUUUUAAAUUUAUUUUAAUAAAAUUUGACAUGAAAAUAUAAAUUUUAAGUAUUUAAAACUUUAGAUAUGUGUAAUAGAUGAGUCAAAUAAAUAUAAAUAUUUAAAAUAGUAUAUUUUUUUAAUAAAAUUUGAGUUUCGAGCUAGGUUCUGAGUUUAUUAAGUGAUGUUUAAGACCGACCCGACUUCAUACUCAGACCAAAUAAUACCCGACCCACAACGCCUGGAUGCGAUCUAGAUCUGGACCGAGGGGGUAUUUUUACCACCCCUAAUUGUUAUCUUCUUUCGUUUUCGUUUCCAUGUUUCAAGAUUUUCUAAUUAUUUAAUUAUGCUAUUUUCUUUUAAUAUGGUACACGCUACACACACUAGACAGGCAAUCCCAUUGAUGCUCUUUCCAAUCUCAUUAAGCAAUCAUCAUUAGCAUAUUUUUACAGCAUUCAAAUUAUUAAAAAUUAAAAUAACAUCAUUAACAGUUUGGAUUGGAACAACAUCUUGAAAUUAUAUAUCAAAAAGCUAAAAUUAUUAAACAAAAAGAAGAAAGAACUUGUAUACUUAUUGAUUACAACUUUCUCAUCUUAUUUGAACAAUGAAGAUGUCUUUCUGUGUGCACAUGCGCCGUAAGAUGAUUACGUUGUGGGGAAAACUGUGAUAAAAUUUUGGACCCAGUUGCCUUUGAUUUUUCAGACUGUCGAAAAUUGCGGCUAUGUGUUCACACUAUAUUAGUUCAGUUUAACCAUGCAAAGUUUUUGGGUAUUAUUCAUUGCGUGACACUGGAGACAAUUUAUAUUUAAUAGUUGGUUAGGCAUUUUGCUUGAUAUUAUUUGGACUCGUAGGGGUGUUAAAAUUUUUGUUAAUUUAUAAUUCAGAUCUUAUUGUAAUAAGAUAGCAAUUUUUGUUGUGGCAAAAUGUUGUUUGUUACAUAAACAGUUCAUACCAAGAAGAGCAGCCAUAUUUGACUUUUUAGAAGGACAUAAUAUUGGAAUAAGCGCAAUUAAGCAGUUAGCAAGCCUUUAGGAUGGAUGGCUUUCUAUGCAAAUGGGCUAUAAGAAUAAGAUGAUUUAAGUUUAGGGGAAAUUUGUACAUCUAGUUGCCUUCAAUUUUUCUGACGGGGAAAAUUGUGAAAAUUGUGGAUGACACGUGUAAUUUAAACAGCUUAAAAGAAGAAAUUAAGAUUAUCAUAUGAUAUAAUUAUAAAACGUCAAAAAGUGUAAUUAGAAAUUUUUGCUAAAGUAGAGAGAGAAUAAAAGGUCACAAAUUUGCUUUAAUUUACUCUAUGCUCCACGCGGUAUACUAGCUAGUACAAAUUCAGUAUGAUCACUACUUUAUAUAUGCAUUGCUUGAAAGUUAUAUAAAGUAAAUCUCUUUCACUUAUCAAAUUUUAAGUAUUAAUUAAUAAAUUAAUAAUGCUUAAUUAGAGAAGAAAAAACUAAGGGACAGUCCGGAAAGAUUAUUUGAUUAAAAUAUAUUCUUAAAUUCUACUAAAAGUUCAAUAGUGAAUAUAAAGUACAAAUAUAUAAUUUAAUAAUUUUCAAACAGAAUGUUCUUUUUUCAAUAAGAUUGGCUCAUAUUAAACUCUUUAUUAUUAAUCUAUAUUCCAUAAAGUACAAACUCUUUAUUAUUAAUCUAUAUUAAACUACCAACAAAGUGUUGGCUCCACUGGCAAUGGAGUCUCCUUAAGUGGUUUGACUGGAUUUGCUCCCCAGUUUGAGUCGCUGGGAAGUCGCAUUUGUUGGGAGAACAUGUGUCUCUCGGUUCGAGCAGGGACUUUUAGUAUGGGUUGUGGUACGGGCUUAAAAGUGCAUCCCAUAGUUGGGGCCCUUCCCAGGAUACCUCGUGGUCAAAACAAAAAAAAAAUUAAUCUAUAUUAAACUCAUGUCUCUUUCUAUACACAGUUGGCCUCCGUGCAAAAAGCAGUUUUCCGCGCGUAAAUCUUGUAUUAAUUUAGUGCAUGAUCUUAAGCAACAUCUUUGAUUUGCUAUUGUGUUGAUUAUCUCUGUUGAUUUUCCUAAUAUUAUAUCAUUUGUACUCUCUCAUACAUAAUAAAUUAUUAAAUCAAUGGUUUAUUCUUAAUAAGUUUUUUAGCAUUAAUUUGGGUGAAGGGGGACACAAUAGAUACAAAAUGGUUUCUUUGAGGAUUUUGUUUUUCUGUGAAAAAUCCAAAACUGAGAUGCGGUCAUGGGAUGAUUCCCUAAAUGAACAGACAUGUGGCAGAUGAAGCAGUCGUGGGUAAGUAUUAUUAGGAAUUUGAGUUGAUAUUUCAAAAUACUAAUAUCCCACGUUGUUUAAACAAGAGAACACAAGUUGAUUUAUUUAUAAAAACUAGAUACAUUGUGGCAUCAGAAUAAUGUUAUGUUAUAUGUAUGUAACUUAUAAUCCUCUCACAUAAAUAGUGAAUGAACCCACACUAUUAUUCAUGUGAGAAAAUUAUAAAUUACAUGCAUGUAACUUAGGGGAUCUUGUGGCAACAAAUCCCCGCAACACGAAACCAAGCAUAACUAAAAAUACUUUAAAGAAAUAUACGUAAAUUCCCAAGAGUUCAAAAGUUCACAAAACCAAGCAAUCCUUCGAAAGUUAAAUUCCCACUAUAAAGAAAUACAAGAAAUUUGUUCCAAACUCAAAAAGAAGACCCAAAGACCUAUAACUCUGAAAGCUACCUUUGAGACACAAGUAACAAAAGAACUUUGAAAGCUACCUUAGUGACAAAGAACAAAAGAACUCUGAAAGCUACCUUAGUGACACAAGUAACAAAAGAACUCUGAAAGCUACCUUAGUGACACAAAUAACAAAAGAACUCUGAAAGCUACCUUCAGAGCAAAAGAGAAGAAAUUACACAAGUAACAAAAGAACUCUGAAAGCUACCUCCUUCAGAGCAAAUCUGAAGGUACAAGAAAUUUGUUCUAAGCUCAAAAAGAAGACCCAAAGACCCAUAACUCUGAAAGCUACCUUAGAGACACAAGUAACAAAAGAACUUUGAAAGCUACCUUAGAGACACAAAUAACAAAAGAACUCUGAAAGCUACCUUCAGACCUUCAGCGCAAAAGAGUCCCUGGAAAAGAAGUCCCAGGAAAAGACCCAAAGACACAAAUAAAUAAAUAAAUUUCUCUUCUCCUGACACAAAGACACCGCAGAUACUAAAGCUACCUUCAGACCUCAAAAACCCCCUAUAAAUAAAUUUCCCCCUCAAAGCCAUCAGACCUCAACGCCAAUUCCCAAUUUCGCAGAUACUAUAAAGAAAUACUUUUUAAUUAGUUGAAACCUCAAAGAAACCCAGAAACCCUUCAAUUCAAACCUCAAAAAAUGUGCCUCGGAAACAAACCAUAUCAGUGCUCUGUUAUCUGGGAUGGGGAUGAAAACCUCGUUCACUUCAAGUGCCGUGUUCCAUCAACGACGAAGCGAGAGGAUGUGAAGGUUGAGAUUGAUGAACAUGGGAAAUUGCUUAUAGAAAUAAGCAAAGGGGUAAGUUCACAUAGUGAUCCUCUCUCUUCAGCUUCUUCCUUGAUGAUCAGAUUCGGAUCCUUUCUCCUAAGCUUCCUGAAGAAAAAUGAGGGAGACACCACCAGCCCGAUAGGCCCGAUGGAAUUUAACUUGCCAGCGGGUCUUAACACGAAUGACUUCGAGACUGCGAUCGAUGACGAGGGGUUGCUGACUCUCACUUUCAAAAAGCUCGUGCCCAUUCGUGCCCAUUAUCAGCGCUCUGUGUUCUGGGACGAGGAUGAAAACCUCGUUCACUUCAACUACCGUCUUCCAUCAGGGACGAAGCGAGAGGAUGUGAAGGUUGAGAUUGAUGAAGAUGGAAAAUUGCUUAUAACAAUAAUAAGCAAGGUGGCAGGUGCACAUACUGAUUCCUCCAUGAUCAUAUCCUCUCUCUUCAGUUUCCUGAAUAAAAAGGAAGGAGACACCACCAGCCAGAUAAUCCGGAUGGAAUUCAACUUGCCAGCGGGUCUUAACACGAAUGGCUUCGAGACUGCGAUCGUUGACGAGGGCUCGCUAACUCUCACUUUCAAAAAGCUCGUGGAGUGGAAGAACAAAAAGCGCGUCUUUCACUUCAAGGCCUAUCUGCCAGCGGGGACGAAGAUGGACGACAUGACGGUUGACAUAGAAGGUCGCAAAUCCCUUGUGAUAGGCAUUCAUGAUCGGCUGAAGAAAGAGGAAGGGGACACCAGUACCCGCAUGUGCUUGAAUGGCAAGAACUUUAGGAGCUUCAUUUUGCCAGAUGGUGUGAACCCAAAUGGCUUCGAGACUGCAAUGGAUGAUGCCGGUGUUCUAACUGUUACCUUCACUAAACUCAAGCCGGAGAAGAAAAAGCUGGGGCCAAUAGCGAAGAAGAUGCUGGGAUGUUUGGCUGAUGCUGCUCUUAUGCUGAUAUGUGGGGGGAUAACUGAUGCGAUUUGUCCAGGAGACUGCUAACAGGCUGGUGUCAAGUAGGUAUUUGCUUUAUGUUCACGUAUGUUGUUUCUGUCGUUUAUCUGUCAGUGUUUGAAAGAAAAAUAAAAAAGAACUCUGGACUCCAUAGUCUAGACCAGGUGUUCGUUAAUUUCUGUGUUGUGUGGUGUUGUGACUCCAGAUCGAGUCAAGACCAGGUGUUCGUCAAUUUCCGUCUUUCGUGGUGUUGCAUCUCCUUUGUUUCAGUGAAAUAAAAAAUGAUAAAACGCUGUUGAGCGAAAAAUAAAUGCAUUUUUUUUUUUAAUGGUGUUGAAUAUUAAAAAAACAAAACAAGGCCUGGUUUCAUGCAUACGUGCAGCCACAAGAUAAAGGAGAAACUGGAGAUCGGUCAGGUGAGCCAAUCAUGCUACAAAAUCUGCAAUCUGUGUAUAAUAGAAUUAAAAAAAAAAAAAACUGCUUGCGGUUGGAUUUUUUUUUUUCAAAUGAGUACAUUGGUAAUGGUGUCCGUAGGAAUGGUAAAAUCCGCAUUUAUAUUUUUAUAUUCGGAUCUGCAUCCGUAUCCGCAAAAAAAAUAUACGGAUCCGGAUGCGGAUAAUAUUCGUAACGGAUACGGGUGAAUAUUCUAAAUAUUCGGAUCUGCAAAAUUAAGAUUCAAUAAUUUAAAACGUAAUUUAGAAAUUCAAUAAUUUAAAAAUUAAAGUAAUUAAAUCAAAAACCUAAUUAAUAAUUAAAGCAAAUAUAAAAUUAAACUAAUUUGUAAAGGUCCAGCCAUGAUUUUUCACUAAAUUUAUGCUUUUACAUAUUAAUUUACUAAAACUAUGAAUAUUGAUUGUUGGAAAGUAAUUGGCGUGGGCUUGGCAGUUGGCUCACCUUUUGUAUUUCUAUUUUCGGGCGUUUAUGAGUGGUGGGAAGCAAGGGUUGAUUUCGGCCAUUUGUGAGUGGUGGGGAGUAGCCGAGCAGGGGCUGAUUUUAGUUGCUUGUGGCUGUACCCACUACUACAAAAAUUCAAAAUAAUGACCCAUAAAUUAUUACGGUUUUUAAAAAUAACUGUCAUUAAAAUUUUUUUAUAACCGUUAUUAUGUAAACCAUCAUAAUAUUUAAUACUUACAAUAACGGUUUUAUAAAAAAAUCGUCAUUAAAUAUAAAUUUAAAAUAUAAUAUUAUUUUUAAUGACGGUUCGUUAUAAAAACCGUCAUUAAAAAUAUUAAUACGAUAAUGACGGUUUAUUAUAAAAAUCAUCAUUAAAAAUAUAUAAUUAUAAUGACAGUUUAAUUAAAAAACAAUCAUUAAAUAUAUAAUUAUAAUAUAAUGUUAAGUUUAAUGACGGUUUAUUAUAAAACCGUCAUUAAAAAUACAAUAAUGCUACACAUCCCAAAUUUUUUAUCCCAAAAAAUUAUUCCAAAUGAUGUGUCAUUAAUUGAGUGGUUGAUAAUUCUUUACAAGAUCCAAGUGAAUUAAUUGUAUUAUCUCACCAACCAAUUGGUAAAUGACACAUCAUUUGGGAUAACUUUUUGAGAUAAAAAAUUUAGGAUGUGUAGCAUUAUUGUUAAAAAUACAUACUUACAAUGAUGGUUUUUAAACUUAACUGUCAUUGUAUCUCUACUAAAAUAUAACCUUAGUAUUAAUGACCGUUAUUUUAGGAACCGUGGUUAAAGAGGAAAUUACUAAUCUUCAUUCAUGACCAUUUAUUUUAUAAACGGUCAUGAAUAAUACAAAUAAAAAAACAAAGCCGAUUUCUAGACUUGGCAUUUUAUUUCAUCACUUCAAAAUAUCUCUCCCAAAUACCCAAAUUCCUUCCAUCACACGCUCAUUUCUCUCCAGAAUAGCCAAGAUUGAUUGUUGCCCACUUCGUAACCAUCACAACCUUGGGAUUAUUGUGCCGUCUCAGUAGCCACCGAGUUGAAUCCCAUUGUUAAUGCUCCAAUGCAUCCUCAGUUCACUGCCUAGGUCAGCUCUAUUUGACGUUUUGAUUUAUUUGUAAUCAAAUUGACACAUUAUCAGCUCCUCUAUUGAAAGCCCUCUACUUUCCACAUACAUUACUGGAAAGGAAUUUGAAAUUUCUUAUUUAUGAGCCAAAUCAUUCUCGCUCUCUAUCUCUCUCUAUAUUUUCAUUUUAUUACUUAUAAAUCUCAUUAAUUUGAUUGGGUAGGUUUCAUGGUUUUGUAACCUAGCAUUGGAUGACUCUAAACAUGGCUACUUCUCUCAGAGAUUAUUGGUGUGCUUGAUAUUAGUAUUGAGUUCAAUCAUCUGCAAGGUUUGUUUCAGUUCUAAUAGUUUGUUUUAAAAUUUUUCGUUGCCAUGUAAUUCUAUGGUGUGGAUUUUAUGAAAUUCAUGUUUAAUUCAGCAAACUCUGUUUCCUUUAAGUAUUUAGUUCUAUGACUGGCAAUAAUAGGUAGAAAAACCUUGAAAGGGCCAUAACAUUUUUCUUUUUUGUUGUUUUUUUAACUUUGUUUUGAUGUAAUAAAAGUAUUCCUUCCUCCCAAACUCAAUUGAGAGGAUUUAAUUGUUCUUUUCUUAUAUUGAAGUGUUUAGAAGCUCUGAUUGCCACUGAUUUAUAAAGAAAACAGCAAUUGUAAAAUUAUUCUGCCGUUAUAUGCUGUUAAAAACAGCACAUGGAACUUCCAAGCACUGAUUUUAGCAACUGGACAACAUCCAUAAAAUUUUCUCGGCGUGUCAUGCUGCUAUUUGUUGUAAAAAAACAGCAUUGAAAAGUUUCAGAUGCUAUUUUAACACAAUUACAGCAGCAUGACAACACCCAAAAAAUUUUCUAGGAGCUGUCUUGCUGCUAUUUGCUGUUAAAAACAGCACCUGAGAGUUCCAAAUGCUGUUUUUAUCAGCUGGACAGCACUAAAAAAAUUUUUAGGUGCUGUCAUGCUGCUGUUUAAGGCUAAAAACAACACCCUAAAGUUGCAGGUGCUGUUUUUAACACAAUUUUAGCAGCUACGUAGCACUUAUAAAAAAUUCUAGGUGCUGUAAUGUGCUGUUUGCUGUUAAAAACAGCACCUAAAAUUUUUUUGGGUGCUGUCAUGCUGCUGUUCAAGGCUAAAAACAACACCCAAAAGUUGCAGGUGUUGCUUUUAACCCAAUUUUAGCAGCUAUUUUCUAAGUGUUGUCAUGAUGUUGUUUGCUGUUAAAAACAGCACUUGAAAAUUUCAGUUGCUGUUUUUAUCAGCUAGACGGCACCCAAAAAUUGUUUGGGUGCUGUCGUACUCCUGUUUGAUUAGAAAAACAGCAUCCAAAGUUUUCAGGUGCUGUUUUAACAUAAUUUCAGUAGUUAGACAGCACUCGAAAAAACUUUUAGGUGCAUUCAAGCUGUUGUUUACUGUAAAAACUGCAAUGAAACUUUCAGUUGUUGGGUUUAUUAGUUAGAUAGCACCUAAACUACUUUAGGAUGCUGUCAUGCUGCUGUUUGAUGUUAAAAGUAGCACCCGAAAGUUGUUAAUGAAAUAGUGACGAUAAUGAUCAUAAUUGAGGAAAAGAAGAACAAGCAUGAACAUUUUGCACCACUGUAUUAUGGAUAUAAUUCCUUCGAAGUAAAAGGCUCUAUAUAUGGAAUAUUAAUAUUGAAUUGGAGUUAGUUAUAUACAACGUCUUACAUGGUAUGCCAUUAUUAUUAAAUUAUGUAAAUCAGUUCCUUUGUCCUUCAUGCCAUGGCUAAAUACAUUUUCAUGCUUGUUGUGGACCUCUUUGGUUAAUGUAGUGAGACCUUGCUUGAUCUUGAGCCAUUUAAUGGGAUGUUGCACUUGAGUGAGAACGGAAAACCUUGUGGGCAGUUUGAUGCAACUAUUAUUUCUCGUAAUGGUGAUACAGUGCUGCUACUACUUCCAUCAUUACCUCGGAUUCAAGAGUGGAAAGGUUCAAGUUUUGUACAGCUACAGGGAAACCCUCUGCAAAUCCAAACCCCUGUGAAAGGAUCCCACUUCAUGACAAUCUUUGUGGGUUUCGAGUUGGAAUACUCUGGCAGGUUAGAAGUUGUUUCAAUUAAUUAUCUAUAACAUACAAGUUGUGUUACAUUAUAUGACCAUAUAAUGAUUCAUUGUGGGAUACUAGGACAUCAAAAAGAGCUCAAAAUUUCAGACAGAUUUUCUCCCUAAAUUUGGUGAAAGACUGAUGGAUGAAUUAGAACUAAGUUUCAUAGCAAUUUGUAGCUGUAAACAUCUAGAAGGCUGGGACUAAAUGCCAUUUGAUUAGGUUAGAAUAAUAUGAACUGAGCUUAUAAUCUUUGUCAUUCAUUCAAUUACUUUUUUAGAUGUCCACAAUUCAUCAUGUUGAUAAUAUCCAAUUGGUGCCUGGUAAAUUUCCUAUGACUAUGAUAUUGGGUGUUAUGGAAGAGAUGAGAACAUCCAUUGUAAAUCAGCUAGAACAGGUUCUGGAUCA
This 81260-nucleotide long non-coding RNA is filed under the name Citrus sinensis (sweet orange). RNAcentral's name for it is "long non-coding RNA (CSIN_LNC003564)". The stretch from base 26934 to 27040 matches the Rfam family "Plant small nucleolar RNA R71". Lineage: Eukaryota; Viridiplantae; Streptophyta; Magnoliopsida; Sapindales; Rutaceae. The record is from RNAcentral.